ACUUACUGUCUUGCGAUCACCAAGAAAUAAGAAUCUGCGAGCAGCCGCCCAGCAGCAGCUUUAAUGGAGUCAACUGAAUUUUCUUAUGGAGGUUUGACAGUAAUAACGACUUGCUGCAGGCAGCUCGUGAUCCAAUCUCAAUGCUAACCUCUCAAGCCACCAAGCACCACAAUCUCACAACAAAUUAGGAUAAUAAACACGUACGUACGUAGUACUGAUGCUACGGAUCCAUUUCAGGAAGCGGUCAGCUAUGCACACACGGACACCAAGUAAUCCCGCCCUGGAAUGAACAUAUUUUUUUUACACAGGACCACACACGGGUAUAGACUAAACGUCUUCGCGAGAUUUGAUAUUUGACCCUUAAUCCUCGGUGUGGCACGUCCAGUAUGUCAACCCGCUGCAAAGACGACGCGACGUCAGGACACGUACUGGCCAAGUGAACGAAUUAGGGAGCGAGCGAGAGACGAAGUUGAUGAAGCAUGCGGAUAUACCUUAUCAACACAAAAACGCAUUGCAGAACCCCGGCAACACCAGUCCACACAGAAGGGCCCUUGUCUGUCAGGGCGUCUUGCACCAACAAACCCACUGAUCCCGCAAGGCAGACGAAUGAAACGACGUAGGCGACAAAAAGCCAAAGCUUCACCCUGCGUAUUAACAAGCCCAUGUCAGAAUAAUACAGUGUAGAAUCCUUCUUGCAGAGUAAAUCCCAUUUACUAGCAAAUUCCUGUACCCAGCAGCACUCAAUGGGACACGGUGGCACCCAUUUCGCUUUACCAACCCCAGGGGAACCCCGCUACAGGCCUUCAUCAUCAGUAAUACUGAUUGGGUGCUAAGAUCCAUAGUCGAGAGGGAAACAGCCCAGAUCGUACACUAAGCAAUCACUCGGUGGAAAAGGAAGUGGUCAAGCACCAUUGGUCUACUAUACUCUUAUGGAAGUCACAAAGAGGGAGAACGAAUGUGACGAUGCAAUCACAUAGUACAAUGCUAGCAACUACAACGUUCUUUCGAUCAAAAGCAUUUCAUCAGUUUGAGAUUUUGCACAACAUAAAUGAAUAGAUGAUCCAUAAAAUGAAAACCCUUAACCCUGCACUUGAACCUGAACAAGUAAAUCUUCAACAUUCCGGGUUUGCCUAGACUGUGCCUACAUUUUAAGAUUCAUCUUGUUGCAAGAUAUCCGUGUGGCUUCAUCUGCUAAGGCCUAGGAUCCCACUUAGCGAUUAUAUUUCCACUUAUGUUGACAGUGUAAUGUUCCUACUUGCUUUGUUCCUCUAGGGGCUCAACCCCAUGUCGUAAAUAUCUUUACUUAUAUAUAUAUCAUACUCUCCUACUGUUUUUCUUCUUACAAAAAGCAUGUGGCUUCUUUCAAAUUUCUUGAAGCAGUUUUAGCUAAUCCUUGCAUUGGCUUUGUUAUGGCUUAAUGAAGCUUAAAAUAUUUGCAGAAUGCGCAGCACAUCAGUUGAGAAAAAUUAAACACAUUCCUUUGUCUCCAACAUAUAAAAUGUUAUACAAAGAGACUAGUUUUAACAUAUCGAAAACCUAGAGCCAUAAAAAUAACUUAAUCAAGCAUUCUAACUCUGAUUUUGGUCAGGUUGCAACCAUAGGUUUGGAAUAAAUUAUUCUGAUCGUUCCCUAUGAAUAUAUACAAACAUAACUACAUAGAAACUAACCACAAUAAAAUCAAAAUGUGAUACACGGGUCUAAAAUUUUAGAAAAAUGGGCUUCACAACAAUUAGCAUGCAGAUUUAAUAAGCCGAAUCUGGCAGAACUAUAGAACGGCCAAAGAGUGAAGUAGACACUUGAAGUCCUAACUUUCCACAUCUACCAACAACAAUUUUUUACACACGCAUGAUAUUUAGAAGAAAAUAGGUGAAACUGCACUUCUUUUUUUAUCUUGCUCAGGAAGUCGCGCAGCAGAAAGUUGAACAGAGGAAAUUAAUGUAUACAACUAUAAUUCAGAAAUAAAUCCAAAUAAGCAUAAGUUAUAACUAGUUAUUUUCAACCAAUAAGAGUUUCACUUUGAACCCAACUGCAAUGGUAUCACAUUGCCACAUGGAUUGUCAUGGAAAAAGCUUGUCUUGAAAGGCAAGCCACAGUAACAGAAAGGUAAGAAAAUAUGUAGUAGGUGUUUGGCACAUGUUAAAUUAAAUGUCAAGGAAAACAGGAAUAUGAUAGAAACAGAGUAACAUGCAAUGAAGAUCGAGGAGCAGUGCUAAUAGGGAAAUAAUGAGGACCAUUAGCAAUAGAGAAACCAAUGCUACCCUCAUGAGAUAUACUAACUGUUUUGGCUGUCAGAACCAUCAAAAAGAGAGGUCGCACUGUUGACUUACAUACUUAUUUGUCCAAGCACAUCCAUGACCACCCAAAGAAGCCUUAAUAUGACUUCUCUAAACCAUUUAGACUCAUAUAAUCAGAUUAGUCAGCCCUUAACAUAUGGUCAGGCCUGAGAUGACUUAAGAACCUAACCUAGGUCCAAGAUAUCAUGGCUUUUCUCUUUUGACACAAGAAUAGUCAAGGUACCUAAUCAGUUUUGUUUCAUCCAAAAUCAAUGGGUUAUUAACUAAAAUAACCCAUCACAAGUUCAGUGUGUGAGAUUAUAAUCAUAAAAUAUAACUAACUUUUCAGUCGUGCAGUUAACGUGUAUACAAUAUACAUUCAGGGUUCAAUUCAAUCAUCUAGAUUACAGUAACCUAUUCUUUGGUUGGUUAAUAUGCAGUAACUAGAAUUCACUGAUCAAUUCGAUAAACCGGUGCCAAAUCGAGCAGUAAUCUGACCUCCACUCGGAAUCAUCCCCGUAGGACGAGUAGUAGUCGUUCCCGAUGGCAUCCUUGUCGACGCAAUUGAACAUGAGCGCGGCCAGCGACGCGAAGAUCCCUGCGAAUCCCCCACAGAGACCCGUCAAUUCCCGACCUCGGAGCCGCGACACGAAUCGCCAAAAGCCUGGGGAAGCGGGAGGGAGGGGAUCUGGUUACCGGGCAGGUAGUGGAUGAAGGAGACCUGGACGGCGCUGCAGACGACGGCGUCGACCCAGAACCACCAGCCGGCGCCGAAGAGCGCGCCGGCGACGCCCGGCCCGAUGAUCCCCCACAGCAUCGCCAGGUUCUCCAUGGCCGCACCAAACCCUCGCCUCCACCAACUCCGCGGAAUCCCCUCGCUUCGUUGCUUCCUUCCUUCUCGCCUUUUCUUUUCUGCCGAUUUCCUCUCCUCUUCCCUUCUCUUUUCUUUUUGCGCCGAGAGGGGGUUGGAUAGGUUGUUGGGCUUUGACUCGGACUCGGUUGAUUAAUCGGGCCCAAUGGGGCCUCACAUGUUAAUGGGCCUGAUGGGCCAACAAGUGAUGGACCAAUCGGUGGUGUUCCCUAAAAAAAUCUGGGAGAGGAAGGAGGUUGUAAGUGUGAGCAGCAGGAAGAGGUGACAAUGGCGCGAGGUGGCGCGUGGGCGGUGGCGGCGGCGGCGGUGCUGUGGUGGAUGGCGGCGGGCGCCGGGGCGGUGUGGCUGGAGAUCGCGCCGUCGGGGACCAAGUGCGUGGCGGAGGAGAUCCGGUCCAACGUCGUCGUCAUCGGCGACUACUCCGUCCUCUACGAGCACCAGCAGGCCCAUCCCACCGUCUCCGUCAAGGUAAUUCAUUUACGUACAUUUAUUUACAUACUCCGCCCGAACGAUCGGUGCAUAAAUGCAAUGUGGGAGGUUAUAAAAUGGAAGGAUUUAACGUUCAACACUGCGAAAUAAAUGAUGAGGGUUUGCCGCGGGUGAACCAUCUCCCCCGUUUUUUUGGAAAAACAUGGCAGGACUGCUGCCACUUUCAUUGAUAGCUUAAAUUUACAGUGGCUGGAUUGGGUUCGCAUUCUAGUAUAUUCGAUCGGAAAGGGGAGAAGGCAAUGAAUUUACAGAGACUGGGUUGAUCUGUUAAUGGUGAGGACCCUUUGCAAAGUUGCAGAGUGCAGAUGUCAUGGAGAAUAUUGAACGAGUCACCGGGGGUAGAAUCGGUUGGUAAAAUCGUCAGGAAAUUGUAACGAGUCAUUGGUGGCUAUUACCAAUUGGAAAGUCAUUGAUUCAUUGGGAUAUCUCUACAUUGAUCUGGGGCUCAGGUGCUGGUUGUACUGAAAAACAUUUGGUACCUUUAUUCAUUUUCAAAGAUACUGGUACAUGUGAUUAUUUCACAUUGUGCGUGUACACAUAAAAGGAACAAGCUAGAAAACGUUUUGCUAGUGCAAAUAUAUAAGGAAUUUUUUAAACAUUCUAUAUGAUCCAUAGUUUACCAGAGGUGUGUUUUUGCUUUCAACCAGGGCUCAUUAUCAUCCUUCAACAUUGAAUUCACUGAAAUAAAAUACAUGAUGGGGCAGAACGAUGAUUCAAUUUGUCCUGGCGCCUUAUCCAUUUUUCUGUUAUAUCUGGAGUUUUUACAUCGACAUUGAAUUGUAUGUGUUGUUUUGAAAUUAUCUUUGUUUGAUUUUGGUUUUCACCUUGUAUCCAUGAAAAUUGGAGUUGAUAGUUCAAAAUUUUCCUUUUCUUGCAUGUUCCAUAUCAAAAAUACGUUGGCUAAAGGGGGAAGGACACCUCCUUUAACUGUCCACUGUUAGAUAAAAGUGAGAUCUCUCUGCAAAUUAACGCGGAUAGCAGCCCACGGGUGGGUGGGUUCAGCACCUUGAAUUCCAGCCACUAAGCUAGGGCUGAAUUCUCAAGCAUGUGCCAUAUCAUGCCUUACAAUCACAUGGUUUUGAUGUUUUAGUGCUUUACUGAAGGAAACAGAAGAUCAUAAAUAGAGAGAAUCUGCAGUAUUUUAGUUCAGUCUGAGUCAUAACUAGGAAUAGGAAGAACUAAUAAGGACUUGGGAAUCGGGAGGCAUUGGAAUUAUGAUCCACCUUCUACUAUUCUAUUAGCUGUAACUUUAGUUCCAUAGUUGCAUCACAUGAUAUUAUUGCAUACCUUAUAUUCCUGUACUUAUGCAACGUGUGUGUGUGUGCAAGGGCAGUAGAAUUCCAAAAAAAGUAUCCCGUCACUAGGCUUCCUUCCACGUUUUAUCAUUCAGUUUUAACAGUAUAUUUAUUUCCCCUUGUAAUUUCUUGGAACUGACUCCAAUUUGUGUUUUCUUGACUCAUUUGUAUCCGUUUUGAUGUACAUUAUUCUUGCAGAUCACAUCCCCUUUUGGGGAUACCAUACACAAGAAAGAUAAGGCUACAGUGGACCAAUUUGCAUUUACCACAUCAGAAGCAGGAAAUUACUUAGCUUGCUUUACAGUUGACAGUGAUAACAAGGGUUUGGUGGUGAAACUAAAUCUUGACUGGAAAAUUGGUAUCGCGGCAAAAGAUUGGGAUGCUAUUGCUAAAAAGGAAAAGAUUGAGGUGAAGUACAUGAAAUUAUGAUGGUAUACCCAUCAUUUUUCAAUUUCGUUGUUUUCCUCGUUUGGAUGACAGUAAUUUUCCUGAAUAGGGAGUUGCACUAGAGUUGUUUAAGCUUGAUGAAUCUGUCCAAACAAUCUACGAAAAUCUGCUCGUGCUGAGGACCAAGUAAGUCAAUGCACUUCUCCGGUCAUGUUUCAUCAAUUUUGUUGAUACCAAAAGGUUUAACUACUCCGUUUGAUAAUAUUGUUCUUAAUGCAGAGAAUCCGACAUGAGAGAUGUCAGUGAGGUGACGAAUGCUAGGGUCUUAUGGUUGAGCAUGAUGUCGCUCGGUGUUUGCAUUUGUGUUUCAGUUAUGCAGCUGGUGCAUCUAAAACGGUACUUCCGAAAGAAGAAGCUCAUCUGAGAUUAUAUACUCCUCUGCAGCAUACAUACAUUCUAUGCUCUAUUUAGUACUAGCUGAAAUAUAAUAAUUUUGCCAGAAUGGAUGUUAAGCAAUUAUGUAAUAGAAUGAUAGCAUGUUCUCACCUAAUCCCAGGUUCAGAUAAGAUGGUACUGCUGCCACUCUUCAUGAUCAACUUACCACUAUUACAAAACAAAAUGCAAGUACCAAUUUUAUGAUGCUACUAGGCACUGGCCCCCUUGCCAUAACCAAAGAAACUCUCUGUAAUCACUCUGUGGUAAGCUUUCAUGGAUGAAAUCUGCGAGGUUCUUUCCAAAGUUACUCUUGAACGCCAACUUGAUCUCGUUUAUGCCGACGUCGUCGCUGCCCAAGAUAGCCCUCGUAACCAACCUUUUAUCAGCUUCUGGGCGUUGCAUACUCCUCUGCAGUAACUGACAAGGCCAAGAAUAGAAGAAUGAGUCAGGGACCAGCGAUGUAGUAGUACAAAUUCAAGUGCAGAACUGCUUGCUUUCUGCUAUUCACCUUACAGUAAUACUUGGAAGGAGUGUAGAUGCACUUGACAACAACUCUCAGAGACUCUUCAAAAUCGCCAGCCAAAUUCUUCUUCAGUGCCUGCAGACAUACACAUUCAUGAUUGGCCAAGAGGUUCACCAGUGUUCUUCUGUUAAGUGGAGAUCAUCAGGCCAACCAGCCAGGCCAUUGAGUCUGCUUACUUUGGUGAAGUCAUGCCCAUAUAUGUGCUUGUAGCUGCAGAGCGCCAGCCUGAGCUGUGGGAUGCUCCUCUUGCUGAACAUCUCGAGGAUGGCGGCCUCGUCGACCGAUCCCGUGCCGCCGCCGUUCUUGGCGUCGUACAAUCGCCUGGCGUCGCAUUUCGCGAUGUGCCGGCUGGGUUCAUCGUGGUGCGACUUGUGGGAGGUUGCCAGAGCUACCAAUAGCUGCUCAGACCACGAUAGGAAAACCCGGCAAGGAGUGAGCUACCUUUGCUAAGUAGAGACGGAAGAAAAGUGGCUGAAACUAGAACGAGAAGCAGGGGGUGGAUAGGACAGGCAUACUCUCUGAUAAGGGUGCGAGGGGUCGGUGACCAUGUCCUGCUCCAGGUUCUUCUUGAACCUGGCCAGGUACGCCUGCUUGGUGAAGAAGAGCUGGUCCUGCUUCCGCCGCGUGAAGACCUCGACAAGGGCGCGGUAAUCGGCCGCCGCGCCGCUCUCGAUGGCGUCCCUUGCCAUGAUCGCGUCUCGCUCCGCCAGGUCAAGCAUCCACAGGUAGAGCAGGUUGCAGAGCUGGAGAGGGAGGCCAUGCUGAGACUGAAAGCAGAGUACGUUGAGACGCCCUGCCUACCUGUUAUGCCCUUUGUUUAUCUUAUUAUUACCUCGUUGUCCUGAUUGGCCGUGAGGGUUUUAUGGAGCCUGCCGGCGAGGUCCUCGCCGAACAUUGCGCGGUACGUCGCCUUGAUCUGCUGCCUCUCCGACGCGCUCCGGUGAGCCAGGAGGCGGCUCAGGCGGCGCGGCUCGUCGCAUGCUCCGUGGAUCUCUCUGCACUCGUUCUCGAACCCUGCGGCGGCAGGAGAACGGGCAGCCAUGCUCGGCACUUCAGCGCCGUGCUGAGGCUUUCGAUGUGUGAACCACGGCUAGUGCAGAGAUGCAUAAGGGAGAGAGGGAGAGAGAGCCAUGUUGUUCUUGGCUUCCUUUUAAUGGAGGAGGGGAGGAGAAAGGAAGAAAGUUAUCUGGAAUUGGCCAGAAAAGGGAGCAAUGGAAAGGAAAGGGGAGGGAAAUGUGUGUCCUACUCAGCAUCGGUUUUCAGUGAUCAUGGGGAUAUUGACUUUAAGGCCUUUUUUGCUUGGACGGAAUGUGAAUUAUUAUUAAAUCAGUCACCCUGAAGUCAUGUCCUAUGAUGGCAGAGUACUAAGCAUUCCUGAAGGAAGAAGAAAGGAAGAAAGUUAUCUGAAUUUAGUCAGAAAAGUAAGCGAUGAAAAGGAAACCAGGAGGCAGAUGUGUUGCCCUACUCAGCAUUGUGGUUUUGAGUGCAGUGAGAGGGUUUUCGGCGCUCAUGCGGAUCUUGACUUUUAAGCCCUUGUUAGCUUCUAGGGAAUGCAGGUAAUUAAAUCAAUCUGAACCUAGGCCAUAUGAUGAUCCAGUUAAUGAGUGUGUAAUCCUCUUAGUCCAACUUAGUCUGGGACAAAGACCAUGUUACCUUGUACAAAUUCCAAAGAAGAAAAAAUACAGAACUAGUACAUUGUAGGAUGAAGUAUGGAUGUAGUACAAAUUUCCGUGGCAACAUUUCCAUGGUGAACAAUUACGUAUCUGGCUCGGUCUCUCGAAGAUGCUCAAAGGGAUAGGAUUGCGUGCAUGUGUUUACAAGUAUAUGAAUGUGUGCGCGUGUUGUGAGCGUCUACGUAUGUGCUUUGAUUCUCAGAAAGAAUAAGCCGGAAGUUACGCAUACAGUUUUUCAUUUUCACGGCACAAAAACCGACCUUUUGUUUUCUCCUUGGACAGUUGCAGUUCAUAAAGAAAAGGAAACAGGGAGAAGCAAGUCCAGGAUGUGGAGGGAGCAAAGGGCAGGCCGGUUAAGUGGUUGACAGCAGAAAAGAUCCUACGUGCCAAACUGAGCAAGACGUAGUAGAUGGAGAUGUCGUAAAGUUGGCUUGGCGCACAAAGGUUUUUCAGAGAAAGGAAGACGCUCCUCCUUUUCUAUUUUGGUUUGGUUUCUGAAGAGAGAAAGGAUCGGAUGGCGCUGCCUUUGGUUGCCGCUCGACAUAAAAUUCGUCGCCGAGGCUGCUUUUGCGGCCGAGCCGACGGUGACUGGCCGUGUGGUGUGGUGGUAUAUCUGGUGGCACCCAUGCCCAUGGGAUAGUCGUGCGUGGACUCCCACCCGGUGGGCGCUGACUCGGAACCCCUCGCUGCCUUCCGCUCAUUUCUUUUGCUCUUGGCCGAAUUUUCGUGUCCUCAUCACGGAACUGGGACGCGCCACCUCUUUCUUUCCAGCUCCAAGUCGGUGCGCCACGUUUGGUUUGUUUUCUUUUCCUUGGGAAAGCACGACCCGCCUAUAGUAACACUGGAUGACUGGAGGGUGUCACGGUUUGUAUCCAUCUUGCCGCCGUGGCCACGAGUGCAGCAGAGUGUGGUGCUUUCUGUCUCAUGGUCACGGCCACCACCGGACGAGACGAGAGGACGUCAACUAUCGUCUGGGGCAGCAAGGCUCCACCAACAACCUGCAUCUUUGCAUGGCGGGCUGCAAGCAGUCCUAUGGAGCUUGACAACCUUUGCCCUGUUUGCCGUGCGGAACCAGAGGAUGCAUUUCAUGUAUUGUGUCGCUGCCCCGAUGCCAGGGAACUAUGGCUUGCUAUGCCAGAUGUGUGGCCCUUGCCGAAGCUCGGUAGUAUGCAUGUCAAACUAUACACGGGGUCGGAAUAAUGGUUACUACGUACGCCAUGGAGCUUGCCAGUGGACCACCGGAUUUAUUUUUAUCAUGCUAUUAUGGAGGAUUUGGUAUAUACAAAAUGAAAGCACGAUAAGCUAGCUUCCCCGAUUCAAGUAUCGGUCAGAUUUCUUCGAAGCUAUGUCCAGUCUAUCUUAAUGAUUGCACAUGAGCCAGAGAGAGGCCCUUUGAAAGGAAAGUCAGUGGCUGUGGAUUACCAACAGGAAAGAAAGCUUUUCUGUUGCUAAUAUGACACCGGGGAAGGCCCAAUCUCCAUGGACUAGACCUAAAGAAGGAUGGCCGAAACUAAAUAGUAAAUACAGAUGGAUCCUUCGCGGCAGCGGACGAAACAGGAGGAAGCGGUAUGGUCUUGCGUGAUCAUAUGGGAGCAAUUAUUAUAUUCAGCGCUUGUCGCUGUCUUUUCCAUUGCACCAGUGCUCUAGAAGCAGAGUUGGCUGCCAUACGUGAGGGGGUAUCAUCAGACUUGCAUUGCAAAGGAGCAGCUUGCCAAUAAUGAUUGAAACAGACUGUCUGGAGGCUCUAACACUUGGGAAGAAAGGAGGAAAUGACAGAUCUUCAAAUAGCUUUCUGCUCAUGGAUCAAUGGAAAUCUUGUCUUGCUCACAUACGUCGUAGUCAAAAUAAUGUCAGCCAUUUGUUGGCAGCUUCUGGUAGGACUUCGGGUUGCACUAUGGUGUGGCUAGGUUCUGGACCUGAUGAGGUUGUUAAUCUCUGUAUCUUCGAUAGUAGUUUUGCUACGUGAGUAACACAAAUAUUUCCCGCAAAAAAAAGAGAGGAUGUCCUUAUUGUCGUGGCGGCGUGGGGGAGGGGUGGUUCCUUGAUUGCGGAUAAACGGGACGUGCAUGUGCUCGUCUGCCUCUCCGCGGCACGGCACACGGCUGUCGGCCUGACCAUUUCCUUUUUUUUGAGGUUUGCCUGACCAUUUCCUAUACGCCGCAUAAAGCAUUUGUUACUUCGCAUCUCAUAGCAAAAGCCCCCCCCCCCNNNNNNNNNNNNNNNNNNNNNNNNNNNNNNNNNNNNNNNNNNNNNNNNNNNNNNNNNNNNNNNNNNNNNNNNNNNNNNNNNNNNNNNNNNNNNNNNNNNNNNNNNNNNNNNNNNNNNNNNNNNNNNNNNNNNNNNNNNNNNNNNNNNNNNNNNNNNNNNNNNNNNNNNNNNNNNNNNNNNNNNNNNNNNNNNNNNNNNNNNNNNNNNNNNNNNNNNNNNNNNNNNNNNNNNNNNNNNNNNNNNNNNNNNNNNNNNNNNNNNNNNNNNNNNNNNNNNNNNNNNNNNNNNNNNNNNNNNNNNNNNNNNNNNNNNNNNNNNNNNNNNNNNNNNNNNNNNNNNNNNNNNNNNNNNNNNNNNNNNNNNNNNNNNNNNNNNNNNNNNNNNNNNNNNNNNNNNNNNNNNNNNNNNNNNNNNNNNNNNNNNNNNNNNNNNNNNNNNNNNNNNNNNNNNNNNNNNNNNNNNNNNNNNNNNNNNNNNNNNNNNNNNNNNNNNNNNNNNNNNNNNNNNNGCGUGAGGUGAUGCAGAAAAGUCAGGCGUGAGGUGAUGCAAACUCGCGACCUCCUCUUUCUGUCUAAAUUGCGCUAACCACUCAUGACAACUCACUUGUCGUGUCGUGACUACCUACAUCCUUUUUUCUCUUCUCUUCUUUCUUUUCUUUAAUCUUCUUUCUAUUUUUCUUUAUUAUUAUUUUUGUUUUUUAAAUACACGAACUUUUUUAAAUCCGAUGCUAUUUUAGCAAAUUAGCGAACUUCUUUAAAAAGAUUUUUUAAUUCAUGAUUUAUUUUUUACUUUUUAUUUUUUUGUAUUUUUUCAAAAGUUAAUGUUGACCGGUCAAACGCGAUCGAGUGACCAGGAACCCAGUCGAGCGCUUGCCUUCUUCUCCACGAACGGGGGCGCGUGAGCGCCAGGACCUGUUCGGGCGUAAGGUGCCGAACGGGAGUUCCCAUCGGUCUCGGCGUCGCAAGUGCCGCAUGCGUGUGCUGACUAUGAAGAAGGAUGAAGUGCGGCAAUGCGGCCAAAAGUCAGGCCGGGGGUCGGGUCCAGGGAUGGGAAUGGGCCGGCCCUCUGUUUUGCUCGAGGGCAUGGAGUUGGCCCAAUGGUCCAUUGGUAACUGAUCUCAUGUCCCAUUGUGUAACAUUUGAUUCGACUGGCAGAAAAUAGGGAGUACUCCCUCUGUAAACUAAUAUAAGAGUGGUUAGAUCACUAUUUUAGUGUCCUAAACGCUCUUAUAUUUGUUUACGGAGGGAGUAGUAAACAACAACAUUUUUUCAAAUAACAUCAUUCAACGGUAGAUUUUUUUUGUUAGCAUUUUAGGAUGUCAAGAGUUUAUUUGUUCAGAUAAAAACAAGGCAUAUAUGAAGCCAUUUCUAUUUCUGCCAUGAACACGUUAGCAUCACAAGUUAUCAUAUUUGCAACUAAUCGUUGGUUGCGGCACAACUCACGCGAUACUAAAAGAGAAUGUAAUUCUCAUUAAAUAAAAUAGAGAAUGUAAUGACUCACGCUAAAAGAGUGCAGUAAUUCGCUCGUGAUUCAGAUGAAAUUCAGACUUCACUACACUUGGAGUAAGAUUUAUGAACUGUUCCAUGAAUGUGAUAAGCUUUUGCAAGUUUAUGAUCGACCAUUUUUGUAUUCUAGUCAUUGUGGACAUUACACAACGCUUGUGGUUUUUCUAUAGCAGGGUAAACAAACAGUCAGCUUCGGAUUCUCAAAAUCCAUAGCCACAACUGAUUCUCAGAAUCUCAGCCAUAGCUGAUUCUCAGGAAUCUGUAGCCCAAACAAAGGGGGCCUAAAUCACAAUGCCAACUCAGUUUUGACAGUAAGCAAAAAAAGCUGUUUCAGUACACACACAGAGCAGCUGGCCAUUGCAUUUGCAUUCGUCUUUUUUUUUAAUACACUGUACCUUACUUUUUUUUUCUUUUUUUAAUAUACUGUGCCUUACAUCUCCCAGCCAGCUUGCUGGAAGCAGAAGCAGAACAAAAAUUGUCCAGCUCUGAAGCAAAAUGAAUGAAUGAAUGCUCCCUCAGCAGCUGCUCUCUACACAUAACCAAGCUUUUCGUGGUUUUUAACAAGCGCCUGCCAGUAGGCAGCGAAAAUCGAACGGAACAGGAAUUCAUCCACGGUUCUAAAUACAAACUCUCAAUGAAACAAGAGGACUGAAACUCGGCACAUCGGCGGAGCGCAUUGGUUGCCACGGCAUCGCCGGAGGCACGAGUCGUCACGACAUCCCCACCGCGUAGAGUGCCGCGUCGGGUUGGUAGUAUCUUGUAUCCGUUAUCUUCGACGGUGGCCAGUACCGGAACACAGAUCUCCCAAGUAUGUUCCUCACCGGGAGCGGCCCCCUGAAACAUCACAGAUCACAAAAGAAAUCAGACCUGGAUUCUAUGCAGCUGAAGCUUAUAGGAUGAAAACGGAGCUUGGUUCGGAAGCAUACCAGUUAUGGGAGUCCAAGCUGUUGUUACGGUUGUCUCCCAGCACAAACACAUACCCUUCCGGUACAAGCUGCAAGAAUAACAGCAGCAAUUAGCUCGCAGAAAUCGGAAAGGCUGACAUCUCUAUAGGCAUUGUCAUGUAUGAAUAUGCAAGGAGAUAUGCAGCGCUGGGUGAGAUAUUCUCUGCUACUAGUGGGCCGGUAUGCGGCGCAAUUGAUACUUUUAAUGCCAAAUUCAUUCCAAAAUUUCAGAUUCUGUUUGCUUUGAGCAAAUAUCAAACAUUUCAAUGGGAUCAUGUCAGCUAAGGCUCGUUUUGUCAUCGCGGUGGCUUUUCAUAAGCGCUUAUUUAUUUAUAUUCGCUCGUAGGUACAACAGUUGGUUAGAAAGAUUUCUUCUUUAGACACUAACAGAAAAAUCUUACUUGCAUUAGUAAAUAUCCCCUAAACUAACUACAGGUCCCAGAAUUCAGCUCAAUUCAGCACAGCAACCGCAAAAAAAGCCUAAAUGUUCAAAGAUCAUACAGUAUAAUGUACACAGCUCACAGCAUACAAAAUACGUAGUGGUAGAGACACUAGAGACUAGACACAGAGGAUAAACAUACCAAUGGUUCCAUCUCAUAGUUGUGUGCCUCCAGCACAAAUUCUUCAUCUUGAAGUACCCCGUUGACCAGUAACUUGCCAUCGCGCACCUAUCAAAGAACCAAGCGAACAACUGUUAUAGCUCGGCUCGAGCAAAGGAUCAAACUUUUUGCAGCACAGCAAUUACUGGUAGCAACGCAAAGAAACAAACACAAGGCACUACCAUUGGGAUAAAAGCUUACUUCGACGUAGUCCCCUCCCUUGGCCACAACCCUCUUGAUGAACACAUCACUGGAGCUGUAGCCCAUAUCCUGCCAUAACAUUGUACUCAAAUUAGCAUCAAAUUCACUGGCAGUAUGAAUCAUGGAAACACUGAAUUGGAGAGACUGGAAAUCAUCAUACCUGAAGAGCUGGGGGAGCACGGAAGAUCACAAUGUCCAAGAUUUCCGGUUCCCGGAACACAUAUGACACCUGUGGAUCACAUUAUUACAACAAAUAUCAAAAACCAAGUAGAGCGAGCAAAAUGACAAACUAAUCAUCAGAUAAUCCUCCGUAAAAUGUUUUACCUUCUCGGCGAGAAUACGGUCCCCGACGUCGAAGGUCGGGUACAUGGACUUGGACGGGAUGGACCUCGGCUCGGCAAGGGAGGAGCUGUAGAGCAGCGGCACGGUCACGGCGGCGAAGGCCGUCUUGGCGUCGUCGGAGCACGAGCUCACCCACUUGGACAGCCAGUUGCUCCUGCUCAUUGUGGCGCUAGCACCGAUGUUCCGGGCAAUUGCGCCAGAAGCAGAAGCAGAAGCUCCGGCGGUUGGAACACCGCUGAACGUCUUCCUGGAGGGACGGAUCGAAGGCAGCGGUGGCGUGGGAGGAGGGGACGAGGGCGCCGAAGACGACGAGGGGGCAAGGUCGCUGCAGGGGAGCCACCUCGCGGUCUGCAAGAACGGGAGGAGGUGCGCCGGGUUGAACAGCCCGAUCGAAAUCGACGACGAGCCGGCCAGAGACGCGGCGCCGGAGAUUCCAGCCGUCGACGACCCCGCCGUCGAACCCUGGGCGAGCACCGACAGCAACCCCACAGCGAGAGGCGGCGGCGGCUUGGAGGAAGAGUACGUCCUCGAAGGGAAAAGAGAGUGGCUUCCGGAGGCGGCAGCGGCGGUGGCGGCGAGGGCCUGGGGCUUGGGGUGGUUGUGGUCGUCGGCGGCGUCAUGGCCGUCACCGCCGCUGGCCCGGAGGCGCUCGGGCUGGUGGCGAGAGGAGGUGAAGAUGCAGAAGGGGCGCCAGGAUCCCUCCUGGAGGAACCGGCACCCGGCGGAGGCGGAGGACCCGCAGCGGAGGCCGAGCGACGCGGCGAGGUUCUGCGCCACGUAGCCGGAGUAGGAGACGGUGAUGCGGAUCGCCAUGGCGAGCAAGCAGAGGAGCCGUAGUGUUACCAAGAAGAGCUGGAUUGGGCGGUCGGGGGAGAACGAGCAACGGGAGACGCGAUCGGCUACUGAUUGCAGACCAUACCGGCGGGGUUCGACUGGCGGGGCGGCUGGGCGGGGGANNNNNNNNNNNNNNNNNNNNNNNNNNNNNNNNNNNNNNNNNNNNNNNNNNNNNNNNNNNNNNNNNNNNNNNNNNNNNNNNNNNNNNNNNNNNNNNNNNNNNNNNNNNNNNNNNNNNNNNNNNNNNNNNNNNNNNNNNNNNNNNNNNNNNNNNNNNNNNNNNNNNNNNNNNNNNNNNNNNNNNNNNNNNNNNNNNNNNNNNNNNNNNNNNNNNNNNNNNNNNNNNNNNNNNNNNNNNNNNNNNNNNNNNNNNNNNNNNNNNNNNNNNNNNNNNNNNNNNNNNNNNNNNNNNNNNNNNNNNNNNNNNNNNNNNNNNNNNNNNNNNNNNNNNNNNNNNNNNNNNNNNNNCGGGGGAUGGCGAGGCCGCGGCGAGCCGGGGGAGAGGCCGGUGGAUCGGGCGGCGCUGGGUCGGGGGAGGUGCGGCGGGGUCAGGCGGCGGCGGCGGGGGGGUUAGCUCCCGGCGAGUCGGCCUCGCCGGAGGGCGAGGUCAACGGGGGCGGUCAAUGGGGUAGGCGGCGGUGUGGGUGUUGCGGGGGAGGGAAAGCGCGAAGCCGACGGGCGGGUGGUGUAUAUAGACGCGUGCGCGCUCACUGUUGACGGUGAGGUGGACAUCCCCUGGCCCCAAGCAUUUUUUAGAAUUUUCCCGGUAAUUACUAUUGGAGAUGGGUUCAACGACAGAGGAAAAGAGUGAGGAAUGAGCAAACUUGGGGCAUGUUCGGAGUCUCGCCACUCCGCACGACUCCGCUCCCGGAGUGGCCCGACCUUCAGUUGAAAACACGGGGUGGAGAAAAAGAUGCUUCACAGAUUCUCGUAUUUCUCGAAGCGGUUGAUUGCCGAACAGAUCUUUAUUACUAACUGAAUCUUACUAUAUCGAAAUUUUGGUUCUAAUAACUCUAGGAAGGUACAUUUCCACUAUGCAAAACCGCGAGAAGAAAUAAUAUGGAUGUCUUUGCAAUCGUGUAUUGAGGUUUUUUACAAGAUCGCAUGGUCGAGAAACGUAAGAAAGCAAGAAAACACAAUAAUUUGAUAGCAAUGCAACUUAAAGCAGACAACUACAAAAUAUGAAAAGUGUAAAUAGUUGAUUCGAGUAACUCUUUAGAGUCAUAAUGCAUAUGAGCUUUUUUUUUACAUCACUUUUUUGUAGGAAGUCUAUGGAAUGCAUGGUCGAGAAACGUAAGAAAGCGAAUGUAUGUGAAGCAGACAACUGCAAAAAUAUGAAAAGUGUGAAUAGUUGAUUAGAGUAACUCUAGUAGAGCCGAACCAUCAUCAUAAUGUAUAUAUGGAGUGGGCUCCACGUGCAUACGAAGACCGUCAACGUGAUGUGCAAGCUCAACGCCUUUGUAUUCGUUGCAUCCGUGUCAUGGGACUCACUCGUCAAUGAAACGUCAGUUUCCUUCGAUCUCCCUUCGAUUCCCACGUGAAAUCCCCUUUGCGCCAAACAAUCGGGUUGGAUGACGUGCGCCUCAAAGGUUGGCUCCGAGGCGUAAAUUUGAAGACUGAGAGGCCACAUAUAGAGGGCGCUUCAUAAAUUACGAUGAUUCUGACAGGCAUGAUGAUUAUGUUUUUGUGAUUUUCUUUUUACCAAAAGCACAUUAACAGUUAUUAUGACGAUUUGUCAAGUAUAAAGACUCUGUUUCCCAUGUUUCCGGGUUUUUAUAAUUUUGCAAACCAAAAGGAAGCGCAGGGGAGAAUGACGAAGAUCGAGAUCCUUUGGAAAAAAAAAAACAAAUCCUUUUUUUUUCUUUUAGAAUCAUCCGAACCCUCCCCCCCGGUGGCCAGUUUGAAGCUGCCAUGGCCCAUGGAAAGGCGAUGGCGACUCGAAAAUUUAACGGAGCCAAAUUAGACCAGACAGGGCAGGCCGCGACUGCUGCCUCCCACCGCCACCUCCCGCAGAACGCCACUGUACAAAUGUAUGUUUAUCUGUAGCUCCGUUGACGGUAACGGUAACGUAACGCAAUGUUUUAUGCAUAGCGGCUUCGUCGCUCUAUUACACCACGUGAUCGGUAUAGCUGCGCUGCUUCUCGGCAACUUCCGCUGCCCCAGUGACAGUGAGUGAGGCCUGGCCAGUGAUUGGUUGGGCACGGUGGCAACCAGAAUUGCGUGCUCCGAAUCGACCGGAUAACUGGAACAGGGAAAACGGGGAGCUGCGCGUUCACAUACAUGAUACUGGUGGCUGAGAACUAUGGAUAUGAUCGUCGCAGAAUAGUAAGUAAAACAGAAGCCGAGAAUUAUGUUGUUGUUUUUUCAACCACCCCACUGUACUUACUUAUGUGUUUGACAUGCGGAGAGGGGAGAAAAUUCUUUGUGCCCCAAAGGAUGCGAUGGUCAAACAGCACAACAUGCGUCGGUUCGGCUAAACAAAUUGGCGGACAGAAAGGAGUCACGGCGUGUCAGUAAAAUAUACCGUAACCGGUGAAAUUCGAACUAGAAUGCUCGAACAUGUCAACAAACAAAUCGAGCCGAUCCAUCCUAGAAGACCGGUACGGUCGCAGACACGCGGGCCCGUCGACGUGUACGCGACCCGCCCACCAGCGAAAAGAUUCCGGGGAGGGAGCCACGGAUGUCGGGGCGGGCAGGCAGCCGUAAGCGCUGACGAUUCCCAGUUCUGGUAUCUCGUCUCGGACGAUGAAGGAUCCGUCGCGAUCAGGUGACGACCGUGCCGGUGCUGCUACAACGGCGUGUCAGUAAAAAUCUAGACGUGUUCGGAUUUAGUGAAACGUUCGACGCACCAACAAGAGGGAUGGGAUGAAUCUUCCUUUCCCUGGAUGGAAAUGGCCUAUCAGAACUUACACGGAAGGAACAGGAGCGGACCUUUUCCCGGUCGCCGAGGGUUUCUACAUUUGUCCCGCUCUACGUGGCGGAACUAAUUAACCGUGCGUGUUGAAAACUAACUUGUCAACCCUCCUCUCCCUGUGUGCACAGAGCGGGAGCUUCUUCACUCAUCAUGCCACAGUCAAAACGAGAAACAGAACAAAAAUACGUAUAUGGGGGAAGUCAGCGUCCCAUCCCUUUCUUCGACCAGAAGGAGCCUUCAGUUCAAGUGUUGGUGCCGUGCAUUCAUGCAUCUAUAUCCAUGCACGCCGAGUGGAGAGACCUCUCCGCAGUGCCAUACAUUAACAUAGAACCAUCUUUGACCUGGCGUGCCCGUUCCCCCGAACGAGACAAGUCGUAGCAGCUUCAUCAUCAUCAUAACAAUAUGCAAUGAGAAUCACUAGGAGGAGCAUCAAUUUUCUCCUAACCCAACACCCAACAGCCAAGAGCCCGACUCGAAAAGAAACCCCUGAAAAUUAUGCUCCAGUGAUAAAAUAAAAAAUAAAAUAGACAGGCUGCAAGACCAAGGUUCUGCAAUGGCAAUCACGAACUAGGUGUACUAUUACAAGUUUACAACCUUUGCCUCUAAAAAUAGGAACGAUUAGCUCUGUUAGCACCGAGGAGGUCCACAGGCAGAACGAUGCUAACAACAAGCGUUAGACAAAUGAAUCUGGUACCAGGCAAUUGACAAGAUGGAUAGAUAGUCACUCAAGCUCCACCGGUAGAAUUGCCUGGAAAAUUAAUUACAAGUUUUUUCUUUCCUCAGUAGACAGGAGAUACAAGAGGCGCCCGCCCGCAUUUCACGGCCGAUCCAAUCAUUGUCAACUUACAUCUAGCGCCGGCCUCGCGCCUUUGACCUCCCUUUCUGCACCGCACAAAAAUAACAAGGUGUGAGAAGAUUGUCGAUUUGAUAGCUUACUACAUCGUGUGUGAAACAAAAACAAAAACACUUGUGCUUGGCAUUGUCAUAUCAUUGUCGAACACUGCUAAUGAACAAAGGAUGCUGUCGUAAGAUGAUGGGAAUUUUACUCACAGAUGUGCCACCAAAGCUGGACCCUGAAGCUGUAGCCCCACCUGUGGGUAGGUAGGUAGACAAAUGGAAUGUCAUACAAAUCACAGAAAGAAAUGAAUUGACAAAGGAGAAUAUUGUUUAGUUCUAACUGAAAGUAUGAAUCACAACAUGGGCAGUAACGAUACUAACAAAUCAAAUCAAAAACCGUCGUAAAGUAAAGCAGUCACAGUGUAUGUACAGACAUGCUAGCUUUAUUGUAACUAGCUGAAGUAAUAAUGCACAGAUCACGUACACUAGUGCUGUCAUCGACAUAUUGCACUAAAGUAUUACAGUAACAUUUAGAUGACACAGUUAAUUCCAUUGCAGCUACAAUAUGCCAUAAAGAAACAAAAAUGCAGACACGCCAAAACUGCUGGGAAUCAUCAUAGGGAUCCAGCAUUCAACUGAGAACAUGUCACCUCAAAUAAAAAGAUUAGCGGUUUUGCAGCAUGUACUGUACAAGACUUUUUAAGAUCCCGAUGGUGCUGACACUAACAAUUUGUAGCAAGGAUACAUUCAGAUGCAAUUGCAGCUACAAAAUGUGAGUCAUCAAAGUAAUGCAAAUUUCUAAACACUUCAAACCAUUCGGAUCUGGGAGAGCCAUCAAAGUAAUGCAGUACAGCACAUAAAACGAUCAUCGGUUUUUACUGUGUGUAACUGACAUUUCUCAUAGAACCUUUACCCUCCAUGACCAGAGAUCAAUUAAAAUGAACAUCAAGUAACGUACAUCACAAGGAAGUUUGAGUACCUCCAAAUGGCGUAGAGAAUAGUGAAGUUCCAGUUAAAGCAGGCGUUGAAGGAAAAGAUGGGGUGAUACCCCCAAAUCCAGACGGAGUUGGUGUUGAUCCAAGAGUAGGAGUGGAGGAUGUCCCAAAUGGUGUGGACAGCGAGGCUGAUCCAGUUGUACCGAAAAGGUUAGUUGUGAGACUUGAAGUUGUUGGUGUUGAAAAGAGACUUGAAGUGGAUGGAGCAGAGGCCGGCAUGCUAAAAGCUGUGAAGGCACUCGAGGAAGUUCCUCCAGAAGGGAGCAAAGAUUGCUGUGGUUGGCUUGUUGCUGGUGCAGCAAUUUGUGUUGUGGGCUGUACAGGAGCAGGCAAAUGCAAUGUCGGAUGGACCCUUUUGGCAGCUGCUUCUUCUUUGGCUGCUUCUCUUCUAUUUGCCUCUAGAAAUGGAUCAUUUGCAUUGCCCAGACGGCGCUGACCGUGUAGAUAUUCAGUUUUCAUCGACACAACAUAUUGAUGAAGAUUUUCCACCUGUACAGAAAGUAACAUCAGAUAUUCAGUUUUCAUCGUCAUAAUAACAAAAACUUUUCCCCCUCUUAUAUUGUCCAUAUACUAUUUGAUUUUACUAGAAAAUUCAUCAGUUAACUGCUUUAUAUAUAGGCACUAAUAAUCAACAAUAAAUGACAGAUAUCAUGGUCGCAACUUCAAAAAUACUAAUUUGAACAGUACAUGUUAGAUUUCUCAUUUCCAUAUAGACAAGGUGUCACCAUAGAAGUAACAUAGAUGAAUAAUAAGAUGUUACCUUUGAAGCGACAUAGAUGAAAUAGUCAUGCACAUUCGACAUAACUUUUGGUAGAGAUUCCACAGAAGAUGAUGAUCUUUUAUUGCUCUCGAUUUGAACCAGCUGCUCUAGUUCAGUAAUCCACUUGCAGCAUUCGUCAAGAUACUUCUCAAACUUGUUGACAGUUUGCAGCAUAAAAAGGGAAGGCCUCUUUGGGACGCCACUAUAGAAAUCAUUGGUUGGUCCAGGCUGAUUGGGCAGAGCUCCAGCAGGUCCAGAAGGAUUUGAAGAACCUGUGGCUGAUUUGAGGAACCUUGGUCUCAACAUCAUAUAUGAGCGAAUAGCAAAUUCUGUGUUCCACAUCAUUUCAUUGACAACAGUCAUCAACUCCUGAACAGAUGCCUUCUCUCUCUCAAUUAUGGUUGCAGUCCCUGCGAGUUCCUGUUAAAGCAAAUGAAUAUUUAUCCGCCCAAGGAAGGAUGUUCUAGGAAUAGGUAGCAUGUGCUUUAUGAAUGUAUGUAUAUUACCCAAUUAGGAAUAGAUAUCAUGUGGUCAUGAAAUCUUCCUAGUACUCAAUAACACUCCCUAUUUCCCAAAUAUCCUUACAGUUAUGGAUUACUAAAAAAGAUGUCAUUCUGGAGGACCGAGGCCGAAUCAGAACUCCCAAUAUCUUCUAAAUUAUUCAGAUUAGAUACUUGAUGAAAAUCGUAUGUGUGAAUUUGUCAUGAAAAGGUACUUCCAUAAUAUGAAAUUCUGUGGGGUGUUACAACUAUAUUAUGAUAAAAAAAACAGUGGGAGAAGUUGCAUUUGGAGACCAUGCCAGUGUCCAAGAGGACUGCUUUCAUAGAAAUGAGGGAAUACAAGGACCGUUACUUCGAAAUAAAAUAGUCAAUGCUACAUGGGAUAUUAACUUCAUGUUUUCCUCUCUUUCAUUUUAAAUUUUUUUGCAGAACUCCAAAAAUAUAAUGGCUGGCCCAAUCUUAAGGUAUACCCUUAGCCUGCACUGUUUCACAAACUUAUUAACAUUUCUGUGCUAAUAUAUUAAUUUAGCUGUAUAAACGUCCUUUUUUCUUUCACAAGAAACAGUUUAGUCACUAUUCCUGACAGAGGAAUUUGUGAUUGUGAACUAAGCUUUACCAUCUAACGAUUAAAUUGCAUAUCUUACAGUCUUGCUAAUAUUGCUUACUGAGAAAAUUCCAUUACAGAAUACUCUGUGCUAAGACGAUACAUGUCCAUCCAUCAUUCAGGGAACUACAAAAUAAUACGCAACAUUCAGGCUACUCUGUUCCAGUGGGGAAAAAAGGAAUGCCUACGCGCUACUAGGUGACAACAUACCGCCUAGCGCUUAAUCAUGCUAUGCAUGCGCUCAAGUGAGAUAGGCACUAGGCAGUGACAAAACACACAAUUAUCUUCUUGGGUCAAGUUUAUGAUAUCAAAGAUGCAGACGCAUAUCUUUUCCAAUUGAGUGUUGAAGGUGAAUGAGCACAAUCCUAUUUGUCUCCAUUGCACUUCACUAGCUCAUUGAUCUUCCAGUGGUCAAUGUGUGAAAGUUCAUUGCUUCAGAACAAGACAAAAACAAAGAUACAUACACUCCAUGCAAUGAGAAACUUGAGCAAGGGAAAUAGUCGAACCUGAGCAAUGUGACUUGCAUCGAGCUCAAAAUUGACAUUCGAGAUUGAGGAGUCAUGAAGGCGACUGCACUGAUCCAACCUUUCACUCUCGUCCUUGUACUCCCGUAUUUUAUCCCUACAAGAUUGAUUGUUAGCAAACCACGUUCUAGGUAUUUUCAGCACAAAAAUCUUCCAAGUAAUUCAGAGUGUAAACUGCGGCUGUAUGACAACAAUUGCUAAACAGGUAAUGGAAGGAUACAAACUCUGUAACCCUAAGCUCAUAAAAUUGACCCCUCCAUGCCAAUAGAAGCAGCAGCUUGACAACCCAGCUUAACUGGCAACACCAAAAGCACCUGUCUUUCGCCCAAUACCUCAAAUCAACACUAAAUGGACACUACUAAACCACCUCAAACAGAAACCCUCAACACCAGUAGUACAAUAAUUCAGCAAAUUAAGAAAAUCGAUGCCUGGGAAACUUGAAAAACGUAAUCUUAUCGCACAAUGUCUUAAUUUGAAUCCCACACGCGCAUAAAAACUACUCCACUCAUCCAACCCAACGACAGUGCAUUUCACUAAGCUGACCUAGUAUAGCAGUAUGGCACAAUAGGGUAAACAACAAGGGGUGAGAUUCCAAUCAAUUGGAGCAAACCAAGAGAUUAACCAAAACAACUGUAACCAAUGACGCCCCAACUCAUCACACAGAAAAGAAGCAUGCUUUUUUGACCGGAAAAUAGAAAGAAAAAUUAGGGAAGCCAUACUCGAUCUGAAGCAGCGCCUUCUGCGAGUCGGCGUGGAGCUCAUCCCACUUCGUGUUGUACCCUGCGGGCUUCCCCUCCUUUGUGUACAGCAUCAGCUGCUGCUGCUGCUGCUGAGGCUGCGCCGUCGGUGCGGCCAGUUGCUGCUGCUGCUGGGGUUGCUGGAAGUUAAACUGGAACGGCGAAGGCGACUGCGCCGGCGCCUGAGUCUGCGCCGGCGACGGAGUCUGAAACGGGUUCUGCGGCGCUGGGGUUUGGAACGGAUUCUGCUGCGUUGGCGUCUGGAAAGGGUUCUGCUGCGCCGGCGAGGAGAAGGAGAACGCCAUUGCCGCGGAUGGCGGAGGGGCUCCUCUCCGGCGAGGGCGGCGCGGGGAGCCGGGGAUACAGGGACGAGGAGAUCGAGACGGAGUUAGUGGGCUCUGGGCCGCGUGGGCUCGGCGAGUUCUUUAAACCCUAGGAGACCGGAAAGAGAAUCGGGAGCGGAGUGGACAACUUUACGGUUUUGCCCCCGGGUAGAAGAUUCAAAAGCGAUUUUUUUCACGAAUACGCUAAAGAUACGUAUCUUUUCAUCGAUAGAAGGAGAGUGUUUACAGCAUGAGAUUAAGACGACACACUAUGCCAUGUACACAAGGCAUGGAAGUGGUCGUCGAGCAAACAGAUGGGGUUGCUCAUCCCCUCAACAUCCUAUCCUAGGUCUCUCGGAUGAUGUUACCAAUCACGGCGGCGCCGGCCCGAGCCCACAGGCGCGCUUCGUCUUUGAGCGUGGAGCAUAGGUGAGAGACGAAGGGUCGGUCAUCGUCGAAGGUGCAGCCAUUCCGGUGCUUCCAAAUCCACCAAGCGGUGAGGAUGAUGAGGGAGGACAAUCCUUUAUGCGCGGCAGCGGGCGCGAGGGCGCAAGAAGAUGCCCACCACACAAGGAAGUCGGUGUCUACGGUCGGCGGGUCCGUAGGAGAUCUAGCCCAAGCAAGAAUAUCAUGCCACACCUGGCGGGAGAAGGAGCAGCCAGCAAGCAAGUGCUGCAUCGUUUUGUAUUCUUGAUCACAGAGGGCACAAGCGGGUUCAUGAGGCAGGCCGUGUCUAGCAAGACGCUCCGCCGUCCAGCACCGGUUUUGCAGAGCUAGCCAGAUGAAGAACUUGACGCGAAGUGGUGCCCAAGAUUUCCAUGUGAGCUUCCAAUGUGGUUCCUCGCAAGCUCCAAGGAAGAGGGCCUGGUAGCAUGAACUGGCAGAGUAGAUGCCCGAGGUAGUCCAUCGCCAUCGGAUGGUGUCUGGGGAGUCGGUGAGCUGAAUGUGGCGCACCGCCCGCCAGAGCUGCACGUAUUGCACCAUGGCGGCAGGGCCAAGAGUGCCAUGGAUGUCCUGCACCCAGGAACGCUGUGAUAGGUAGUCUCUGACCGUGCAAAUCUUCCGCCGCCUCUUCGGGAUCAUUUGAAAUAGUUGAGGAGCGAUCUCGGCCACCGAUCGUCCGUCGAUCCAGUGGUCGGUCCAGAACUUGCACUUGUCGCCAUUGCCAACGCUCCAUGUGGUUGAGGCGCGGAAGAUAGCGCUGACAUUUGCAUCAUGCUGGAUGUGCAAGUGGCUCCAGGGGCGCGAGUGAUCGGUGAGCUGGAGCCAGAGCCAAAGCAUUCGGAGGGCGAUGCUCGCGCGAUGCAGAUCACGGAUGCCCAGCCCGCCAAGAUGAAGUGGGCGGCAGACUGAAGGAAAUAUGCCCUAGAGGCAAUAAUAAAGUUGUUAUUUAUAUUUCCUUAUAUCAUGAUAAAUGUUUAUUAUUCAUGCUAGAAUUGUAUUAGCCGGAAACUUAGUACAUGUGUGAACAUAUAGACAAACAGAGUGUCCCUAGUAUGCCUCUACUUGACUAGCUCGUUAAUCAAAGAUGGUUAAGUUUCCUGACCACAGACAUGUGUUGUCAUUUGAUGAAUGGAUCACAUCAUUAGAGAAUGAUGUGAUGGACAAGACCUAUCCGUUAGCUUAGCAUAAUGAUCAUUUAGUUUUAUUGCUAUUGCUUUCUUCAUGACUUAUACAUGUUCCUCUGACUUAUACAUGUUCCUCUGGCUAUGAGAUUAUGCAACUCCCGAAUACCGGAGGAACACUUUGUGUGCUAUCAAACGUCACAACGUAACUGGGUGAUUAUAAAGAUGCUCUACAGGUGUCCCGAUGGUGUUUGUUGAGUUGACAUAGAUCAAGAUUAGGAUUUGUCACUUUGAGUAUCGGAGAGGUAUCUCUGGGCCCUCUCGGUAAUGCACAUCACUAUAAGCCUUGCAAGCAAUGUGACUAAUGAGUUAGUUACGGAUGAUGCAUUACGGAACGAGUAAAGAGACUUGCCGGUAACGAGAUUGAACUAGGUAUGAUGAUACCGACGAUCGAAUCUCGGGCAAGUAACAUAUCGAUGACAAAGGGAAUGACGUAUGUUGUUAUGCGGUUUGACCGAUAAAGAUCUUCGUAUAAUAUGUAGGAGCCAAUAUGAGCAUCCAGGUUCCGCUAUUGGUUAUUGACCGGAGAUGUGUCUCGGUCAUGUCUACAUAGUUCUCGAACCCGUAGGGUCCGCACGCUUAACGUUUGAUGACGAUUUGUAUUAUGAGUUAUGUGUUUUGGUGACCGAAGUUUGUUCGAAGUCCCGGAUGAUAUCACGGACAUGACGAGGAGUCUCGAAAUGGUCGAGAGGUAAAGAUUGAUAUAUUGGAAGGUUAUAUACGGACACCGGAAUGGUUCCGAUAAGGUUCGGGGAUUUUUUGGAGUACCGGGAGGCUACCGGAACCCCCCGGGAAAGUUAUUGGGCCUAAUGGGCCAUAGUGGAGGAGAGGAGGCAGGCCACGGGAGGAGGCGCGCGCCCCCCUUGCCCCAAUCCGAAUUGGACAAGGGGAGGGGGCGCGGCUGAUACGUCUCCAACGUAUCUAUAAUUUUUGAUUGUUCCAUGCUAUUAUAUAUUCUGUUUUGGAUGUUUAAUGGGCUUAUUUAUAAACUUUUAUAUUAUUUUUGGGACUAACCUAUUAACCGGAGGCCCAACCCAAAUUGCUGUUUUUUUGCCUAUUUCAGUGUUUCGCAGAAAAAGAAUAUCAAACAGAGUCCAAACGGAAUGAAACCUUCGUGGACGUGAUUUUGGAACAAACAUGAUCCAGAGGACUUGGAGUGGACGUUAAGCAACCAACGAGGCGGCCACGAGGCACGGGGGCGCGCCUACCCGCCCCCCUCCCCAGGCGCGCCCUCCACCCUCGUGGGCCCCUCGUGGCUCCACCGACCUACUUCUUCCUCCUAUAUAUACCUACGUACCCCCAAACCAUCAGAAGCGCCCACGAAAACCUAAUUCCACCGCCGCAACCUUCUGUACCCGUGAGAUCCCAUCUUGGGGCCUUUUCCGGCGUCCUGCCGGAGGGGGCAUUGAUCACGGAGGGCUUCUACAUCAACACCAUAGCCUCUCCGAUGAUGUGUGAGUAGUUUACCUUAGACCUUCGGGUCCAUAGUUAUUAGCUAGAUGGCUUCUUCUCUUUCUUUGGAUCUCAAUACAAAGUUCUCCUCGAUUCUCUUAGAGAUCUAUUAGAUGUAAUCUUCUUUUGCGGUGUGUUUGUCGAGAUCCGAUGAAUUGUGGGUUUAUGAACAAGAUUAUCUAUGAACAAUAUUUGAAUCUUCUCUGAAUUCUUUUAUGUAUGAUUGGUUAUCUUUGCAAGUCUCUUCGAAUUAUCAGUUUGGUUUGGCCUACUAGAUUGAUCUUUCUUGCAAUGGGAGAAGUGCUUAGCUUUGGGUUCAAUCUUGCGGUGCUCGAUCCCAGUGACAGUAGGGGAAACGACACGUAUUGUAUUGUUGCCAUCGAGGAUAAAAAGAUGGGGUUUAUAUCAUAUUGCAUGAGUUUAUCCCUCUACAUCAUGUCAUCUUGCUUAAAGCGUUACUCCGUUCUUAUGAACUUAAUACUCUAGAUGCAUGCUGGAUAACGGUCGAUGUGUGGAGUAAUAGUAGUAGAUGCAGGCAGGAGUCGGUCUACUUGUCACGGACGUGAUGCCUAUAUACAUGAUCAUACCUAGAUAUUCUCAUAACUAUGCUCAAUUCUAUCAAUUGCUCGACAGUAAUUCGUUCACCCACCCUAAUACUUAUGCUCUUGAGAGAAGCCACUAGUGAAACCUAUGGCCCCCGGGUCUAUUUUCCAUCAUAUUAAUCUCCCGUUAUUUCCAUUACUGUUUACUUGCUUUCUUUACUUUUACUCUUUAUCAUAAAAAUACCAAAAAUAUUAUCUUAUCAUCUCUAUCAGAUCUCAUUCUCGUAAGUGACCGUGAAGGGAUUGACAACCCCUUUAUCGCGUUGGUUGCGAGGUUCUUAUUUGUUUGUGUAGGUGCAAGGGACUUGAGCGUGACCUCCUACUGGAUUGAUACCUUGGUUCUCAAAAACUGAGGGAAAUACUUACGCUACUUUACUACAUCACCCUUUCCUCUUCAAGGGAAAACCAAUGCAGUGCUCAAGAGGUAGCAAGAAGGAUUUCUGGCGCCGUUGCCGGGGAGGUGUGCGCCAAGUCAAGUCAAGACAUACCAAGUACCCAUCACAAACUCUUAUCCCUCGCAUUACAUUAUUUGCCAUUUGCCUCUCGUUUUCCUCUCCCCCACUUCAUCCUUGCCAUUUUAUUCGCCCUCUCUUUUCUGUUCGCCCUCUUUUUCGCUUGCUUCUUGUUUGCUCGUGUGUUGGAUUGCUUGCUUGUCACGAUGACUCAAGAUAAUACUAAAUUGUGUGACUUUGCCAAUACCAAAAACAAUGAUUUUCUUAGCACUCCGAUUGCUCCUCUUACCGAAGCUGAAUCUUGUGAAAUUAAUGCUGCUUUGCUGAAUCUUAUCAUGAAAGAUCAAUUUGCCGGCCUUCCUAGUGAAGAUGCCGCUACCCAUCUAAAUAGCUUUGUUGAUUUGUGUGAUAUGCAAAACAAGAAAGAUGUGGAUAAUGAUAUUGUUAAAUUGAAGCUAUUUCCGUUUUCUCUUAGAGAUCGUGCUAAAACUUGGUUUUCGUCUUUGCCUAAAAAUAGUAUUGAUUCUUGGAAUAAGUGCAAAGAUGCUUUUAUCUCUAAGUAUUUUCCUCCCGCUAAAAUCAUCUCUCUUAGAAACGAUAUUAUGAAUUUUAAGCAACUUAAUCAUGAACAUGUUGCACAAGCUUGGGAGAGAAUGAAAUUAAUGAUACGUAAUUGCCGUACUCAUGGUUUGAACUUAUGGAUGAUUAUACAAAAAAUUUAUGCCGGAUUGAAUUUUGCUUCUAGAAAUCUUUUAGAUUCGGCCGCGGGAGGCACUUUUAUGGAAAUCACUUUAGGAGAAGCUACUAAACUCCUAGAUAAUAUUAUGGUUAAUUAUUCUCAAUGGCACCCUGAAAGAUCUACUAGUAAAAAGGUGCAUGCGAUAGAAGAAAUUAAUGUUUUGAGUGGAAAGAUGGAUGAACUUAUGAAAUUGUUUGCUAAUAAGAGUGUUUAUUCUGAUCCCAAUGAUAUGCCUUUGUCUACUUUGAUUGAGAAUAAUAAUGAAUCUAUGGAUGUGAAUUUUGUUGGUAGGAAUAAUUUUGGUAACAACGCUUAUAGAGGAAAUUUUAAUUCUAGGCUGUAUCCUAGUAAUUCCUCUAAUAAUUAUGGUAAUUCCUACAACAACUCUUAUGGAAAUUUUAAUAAGUUGCCCUCUGAUUUUGAGACUAGUGUUAAAGAGUUUAUGAAUUCGCAAAAGAAUUUCAAUGCCUUGCUUGAAGAAAAAUUGCCUAAGAUUGAUGAAUUGGCUAGGAACGUGGAUAGAAUUUCUCUUGAUGUUGAUUCUUUGAAACUUAGAUCUAUUCCACCUAAGCAUGAUAUCAAUGAGUCUCUCAAAGCCAUGAGAAUUUCCAUUGAUGAGUGCAAAGAAAGAACCGCUAGGAUGCGUGCUAAGAAAGAUUGCUUUGUGAAAGCGUGUUCUUCUAGUUUUUAUGAGAAUAAAGAUGAAAAUCUAAAAGUUAUUAAUGUGUUCCCUAUUAAAUCUUUGUUUUGCAAUAUGAAUCUUGAUAAUGAUGGGACUGGAGAUGAGUCAACUUUAGUUAGAAGGCGUCCCAAAAAUUCGGAGUUUUUAGAUCUUGAUGCAAAAUUUGGUAAAAGUGGGAUUGAAGAGGUUAAAACUUUAGAUAGCAAUGAACCCACUAUUUUGGAUUUAAAGGAAUUUAAUUAUGAUAAUUGCUCUUUGAUAGAUUGUAUUUCCUUGUUGCAAUCCGUGCUAAAUUCUCCGUAUGCUUAUAGUCAAAAUAAAUCUUUUACUAAACAUAUCGUUGAUGCUUUGAUGCAAUCUUAUGAAGAAAAACUUGAGUUGGAAGUUUCUAUCCCUAGAAAACUUUAUGAUGAAUGGGAUCCUACAAUUAAAUUUAAAAUUAACAAUCAUGAAUGCUAUGCUUUGUGUGAUUUGGGUGCUAGUGUUUCCACGAUUCCAAAAACUUUGUGUGAUUUGUUAGGUUUCCAUGAAUUUGAUGAUUGCUCUUUAAACUUGCAUCUUGCGGAUUCCACUAUCAAAAAACCUAUGGGAAGAAUUAAUGAUGUUCUUAUUGUUGCAAAUAGGAAUUAUGUGCCCGUAGAUUUCAUUGUUCUUGAUAUAGAUUGCAAUCCUUCAUGUCCUAUUAUUCGUGGUAGACCUUUCCUUAGAACGAUUGGUGCAAUCAUUGAUAUGAAGGAAUGGAGUAUUAGAUUCCAAUUUCCGUCAAGGAAAGGCAUGGAACACUUCCCUAGAAAGAAAAUUAAAUUACCAUAUGAAUAUAUUAUGAGAGCCACUGAUGGAUUGCCUACCAAAGAUGGCAAUACCUAGAUCCAUCCUUGUUUUUAUGCCUAGCUAGGGGCGUUAAACGAUAGCGCUUGUUGGGAGGCAACCCAAUUUUAUUUUUAGUUUUUUGCUUUUUGGUUCUGUUUAGGAAUAAAUCUUUGAUCUAGCCUCUGGUUAGAUUUGUUUUUGUGUUUUAAUUAGUGUUUGUGCCAAGUUAAACCUAUAGGAUCUUCUUGGAUGAUAGUUAUUGAUCUUGCUAAAAAUUUCAGAAACUUUCUGUUCACAAAAAUAAUUGUUAAAAAUUACCAGAACGUGAUAUAAUAUUGAUUCAAAUUGCAGCAGAUCAAUAGACAAAUUAUUUAGGUCGUCCUAUUUUGGCAGAAUUUUUAGAGUUCCAGAAGUUUGUGUUGGUUACAGAUUACUACAGACUGUUCUGUUUUUGACAGAUUCUGUUUUUCGUGUGUUGUUUGCUUAUUUUGAUGAAUCUGUGGCUAGUAAAAGAGCUUAUAAACCAUAGAGAAGUUGGAAUACAGUAGGUUUAACACCAAUAUAAAUAAAGAAUGAGUUCAAUACAGUACCUUGAAGUGGUGUUUUGUUUUCUUUCGCUAACGGAGCUCGCGAGAUUUUCUAUUUGUGUUGUGAAGUUUUCAAGUUUUGGGUAAAGAUUUGAUGGAGUAUGGAACAAGGAGUGGCAAAAGCCUAAGCUUGGGGAUGCCCAAGGCACCCUAAGGUAAAUCCAUGGACACCAAAAAGCCAAAGCUUGGGAUGCCCCGGAAGGCAUCCCCUCUUUCUUCCUCAUCCAUCGGUAAAUUUACCUGGAGCUAUAUUUUUAUUCACCACAUGAUAUGUGUUUUGCUUGGAGCGUCUUGUAUGAUUUGAGUCUUUGUUUGUUAGUUUGCCACAAUCAUCCUUGCUGUACACACCUUUUGAGAGAGACACACAUGAUUCGGAAUUUGUUAGAAUACUCUAUGUCCUUCACUUAUAUCUUUUGAGCUAUAUAGUUUUUGCUCUAGUGCUUCACUUAUAUCUUUUAGAGCACGGCGGUGGUCGUAUUUUAUAGAAAUUAUUGAUCUCUCAUGCUUCACUUAUAUUAUUUUGAGAGUCUUAAACAACAUGGUAAUUUGCUUUAAUUGUGAAAUUAAUCUUCCAUAUUGAGUUCAUUGAAUAUCAUGAGAAGUUACAUACUUGAUAAGUGUUUUGAGAUAUAAAGGUGGUAAUAUUAGAGUGUGCUAGUUGAGUAAUUGUGAAAUUGAGAAAUACUUGUGUUAAAGUUGUCAAGUCCCGUAGCAUGCACGUAUGGUAAAAGUUGUGUAACAAUUUUGACACAUAGGUGUUCUUUUAUUGCUUUCCUUAUGAGUGGCGGUCGGGGACGAGCGAUGGUCUUUUCCUACCAAUCUAUCCCUCUAGGGGCAUGCGUAGUAGUACUUUGCUUCGAGGGCUAAUAAAAUUUUGCAAUAAGUACAUGAGUUCUUUAUGACUAAUGUGAGUCCAUGGAUUAUACGCACUCUCAACCUUCCACAAUUUUCUAGCCUCUACGGUACCACGCAUUGCCCUUUCUCACCUUGAGAGUUGGUGCAAACUUCGUCGGUGCAUCCAAACCCCGUGAUAUGAUACGCUCUAUCACACAUAAGCCUCUUUAUAUCUUCCUCAAAAUAGCCACCAUACCUACCUAUCAUGGCAUUCCAUAUCCAUUCCGAGAUAUAUUGCCAUGCAACUUUCCACCGUUCCGUUUAUUAUGACACGCUUCAUCAUUGUCAUAUUGCUUUGCAUGAUCAUGUAGUUGACAUCGUAUUUUGUGGCAAAGCCACCAUUCAUAAUUUUUUCAUACAUGCCACUCUUGAUUCAUCGCAUAUCCCGGUACACCGCCGGAGGCAUUCACAUAGAGUCAUAUUUUGUCCUAAGUAUUGAGUUGUAAUUGUUGAGUUGUAAAUAAUAAAAGUGUGACGAUCAUCAUUAUUAGAGCAUUGUCCCAUGUGAUGAAAGGAUGAUGGAGACUAUGAUUCCCCCACAAGUUGGGAUGAGAUUCCGGACUAAAAAAAGAGAGGCCAAAUAAAAAAAAGGCCCAAAGAAAAAAAAAGAAAAAAGAGAGAAAAAGAGAGAAGAGACAAUGUUACUAUCCUUUUCCACACUUGUGCUUCAAAGUAGCACCGUGAUCUUCAUGAUAGAGAGUCUCCUAUGUUGUCACUUUCAUAUACUAGUGGGAAUUUUUCAUUAUAGAACUUGGCUUGUAUAUUCCAAUGAUGGGCUUCCUCAAAAUGCCCUAGGUCUUCAUGAGCAAGCAAGUUGGAUGCACACCCACUUAGUUUCUUUUGUUGAGCUUUCAUAUAUUUAUAGCUCUAGUGCAUCCGUUGCAUGGCAAUCCCUACUCCUCUCAUUGACAUCAAUCGAUGGGCAUCUCCAUAGCCUAUUGAUUAGCCGCGUCAAUGUGAGACUUUCUACCUUUUUGUCUUCUCUCAUAACCCCCAUCAUUAUACCUUACUCCACCCAUAGUGCUAUAUCCAUGGCUUGCGCUCAUGUAUUGCGUAAGAGUUGAAAAGGCUGAAGCGCGUUAAAAGUAUGAACGAAUUGCUCGGCUUGUCAUCGGGGUUAUGCAUGAUGAGAACGUUUGUGUGACAAUAUUGAAACAUGGCCUAACUAUAUGAUUUUGUAGGGAUAAGCUUUCUUUGGCUAUGUUAUUUUGAUAAGACAUAAUUGCUUGGUUAGCAUGUUUGAAGUAUUAUUGUUUUUAUGUCAACAUUAAACUUUUAUCUUGAAUCUUUCGGAUCUAAAUAUUCAUGCCACAAUAAAAAGAUUUACAUUGAGGAUUAUGCUAAGAAGCAUUCCACAUCAAAAAUUAUGUUUUUAUCAUUUACCUACUCGAGGACGAGCAGGAAUUAAGCUAGGGGAUGCUUGAUACGUCUCCAACGUAUCUAUACUUUUUUGAUUGUUCCAUGCUAUUAUAUAUUCUGUUUUGGAUGUUUAAUGGGCUUAUUUAUACACUUUUAUAUUAUUUCUGGGACUAACCUAUUAACAGGAGGCCCGGCCCAAAUUGCUGUUUUUUUGCCUAUUUCAGUGUUUCGCAGAAAAAGAAUAUCAAACGGAGUCCAAACGGAAUGAAACCUUCGGGAACGUGAUUUUUGGAACAAACGUGAUUCAGAGGACUUGGAGUGGACGUCAAGCAACCAACGAGGCGGCCACGAGGCAGGGGCGCGCCUACCCCCCCAGGCGCGCCCUACACCCUCGUGGGCCCCUCGUGGCUCCACUGACCUACUUGUUCCUCCUAUAUAUACCUACGUACCCCCAAACCAUCAGAAGCGCCCACGAAAACCUAAUUCCACCGCCGCAACCUUCUGUACCCGUGAGAUCCCAUCUUGGGGCCUUUUCCGGCGUCCUGCCGGAGGGGGCAUUGGUCACGGAGGGCUUCUACAUCAACACCAUAGCCUCUCCGAUGAUGUGUGAGUAGUUUACCUCAGACCUUCGAGUCCAUAGUUAUUAGCUAGAUGGCUUCUUCUCUCUCUUUGGAUCUCAAUACAAAGUUCUCCUCGAUUCUCUUAGAGAUCUAUUCUAUGUAAUCUUCUUUUGCGGUGUGUUUGUCGAGAUCCGAUGAAUUGUGGGUUUAUGAACAAGAUUAUCUAUGAACAAUAUUUGAAUCUUCUCUGAAUUCUUUUACGUAUGAUUGGUUAUCUUUGCAAGUCUCUUCGAAUUAUCAUUUUGGUUUGGCCUACUAGAUUGAUCUUUCUUGCAAUGGGAGAAGUGCUUAGCUUUGGGUUCAAUCUUGCGGUGCCCGAUCCCAGUGACAGUAGGGGAAACGACACGUAUUGUAUUGUUGCCAUCGAGGAUAAAAAGAUGGGGUUUAUAUCAUAUUGCAUGAGUUUAUCCCUCUACAUCAUGUCAUCUUGCUUAAAGCGUUACUCAGUUCUUAUGAACUUAAUACUCUAGAUGCAUGUUGGAUAGCGGUCGAUGUGUGGAGUAAUAGUAGUAGAUGCAGGCAGGAGUCGGUCUACUUGUCACGGACGUGAUGCCUAUAUACAUGAUCAUACCUAGAUAUUCUCAUAACUAUGCUCAAUUCUAUCAAUUGCUCGACAGUAAUUCGUUCACCCACCGUAAUACUUAUUCUCUUAAGAGAAGCCACUAGUGAAACCUAUGGCCCCCGGGUCUAUUUUCCAUCAUAUUAAUCUCCCGUUAUUUCCAUUACUGUUUACUUGCUUUCUUUACUUUUACUCUUUAUCAUAAAAUACCAAAAAAAAUAUCUUAUCAUCUCUAUCAGAUCUCAUUCUCGUAAGUGACCGUGAAGGGAUUGACAACCCCUUUAUUGCGUUGGUUGCGAAGUUCUUAUUUGUUUGUGUAGGUGCAAGGGACUUGAGCGUGACCUCCUACUGGAUUGAUACCUUGGUUCUAAAAAACUGAGGGAAAUACUUACGCUACUUUACUGCAUCACCCGUUCCUCUUCAAGGGAAAACCAACGCAGUGCUCAAGAGGUAGCAGCGGCCCCCCUCUUUCCUUCUCCCUCUCUCUCCCUUCCCCUUUCCCCUCUCCGUUGGAAGGAAAGGGGGGGCGAAUCCUACUAGGAACAGAGUCCUAGUAGGACUCCCCCCCAUGGCGCGCCCCCUUGGGCCGGCCUCCUCCUCCCUUCCUCCUUUAUAUACGUGGGUAGGGGGGCACUCCAAAGCACAAUAGUUGUUCUUAGCCGUGUGCGGUGCCCCCCUCCACAGUUUACCAUCUCGGUCAUAUUGUCGUAGUGCUUAGGCGAAGCCCUGCGCGAAUCACAUCACCAACACCGUCGCCACACCGUCGUGCUGACGGAACUCUCCCUCGACCCUCUACUGGAUCAAGAGCUCAAGGGACGUCAUCGUGCUGAAUGUGUGCUGAACACGGAGGUGCCGUACGUUCGAUACUUGGAUCAGUUGGAUCGUGAAGACGUUCGACUACAUCAACCGUGGUACAUAACGCUUCCGCUUUUGGUCUACGAGGGUACGUGGACACACUCUCCUCUCUCGUUGCUAUGCAUCUCCUAUAUAGAUCUUGCAUGUUUGUAGGAUUUUUUUUGAAUUACUACGUUCCCCUACAGUGGCAUCCGAGCCAGGUCUAUGCGUAGAUGAUAUAUGCACAAGUAGAACACAAAGAGUUGUGGGCGAUAAUAGUCAUACUGCUUACCACCAAUGUCUUACUUUGAUUCGGCGGUAUUGUUGGAUGAAGCGGCCCGGACCGACAUUACAUGACCGCGUUCAUGAGAUUGGUUCUACUGACGUGCUUCACACAUAGGUGGCUGGCGGGUGUCUGUUUCUCCAACUUUAGUUGAUUCGAGUUUGACUACGGACGAUCCUUGUUGAAGGUUAAAACAACACACUUGACGAAAAAUCGUUGUGGUUUUGAUGCGUAGGUAAGAACGGUUCUUGCUAGAAGCCCGUAGCAGCCACGUAAAACUUGCAACAACAAAGUAGAGGACAUCUAACUUGUUUUUGCAGGGCAUGUUGUGAUGUGAUAUGGUCAAGAAAUGAUGAGAUAUAAAUUGUUGUAUGAUAUGAUCAUGUUUUGUAAAAGUUAUCGGAAACUGGCAGGAGCCUUAUGGUUUUUGCUUUAUUGUAUGAAAUGCAAUCGCCAUGUGAUUGCUUUACUUUAUCACUAAGCGGUAGCGAUAGUCGUAGAAGCAAUAGUUGGCAAGCGACAACGAUGCUACGAUGGAGAUCAAGGUGUCAAGCCGGUGACGAUGGAGAUCAUGACGGUGCUUUGGAGAUGGAGAUCAAAGGCACAAGAUGAUGAUGGCCAUAUCAUGUCACAUAUUUUGAUUGCAUGUGAUGUUUAUCCUUUAUGCAUCUUAUUUUGCUUAGUACGACGGUAGCAUUAUAAGAUGAUCCCUCACUAAAUUUCAAGGUAUAAGUGUUCUCCCUGAGUAUGCACCAUUGCUACAGUUCGUCGUGCCGAGACACCACGUGAUGAUCGGGUGUGAUAAGCUCUACGUUCACAUACAAUGGGUGCAAGCCAGUUUUGCACGUGCAGAAUACUCGGGUUAAACUUGAUGAGCCUAGCAUAUGCAAAUAUGGCCUCGGAACAUUGAGACCGAAAGGUCGAACGUGAAUCAUAUAGUAGAUAUGAUCAACAUAGUGAUGUUCACCAUUGAAAACUACCCCAUCUCACGUGAUGAUCGGACAUGGUUUAGUUGAUAUGGAUCACAUGAUCAUUUAGAUGACUAGAGGGAUGUCUAUCUAAGUGGGAGUUCUUAAGUAAUAUGAUUAAUUGAACUUUAAUUUAUCAUGAACUUAGUACCUGAUAGUUUUUGCAUGUCUAUGUUAUUGUAGAUCAAUGGCCCGUGCUACCGUUCCUUUGAAUUUUAAUGCGUUCCUAGAGAAAGCUAAGUUGAAAGAUGAUGGUAGCAACUACAUGGACUGGGUCUAUAACUUGAGGAUUAUCCUCAUUGCUGCACAGAAUAAUUAUGUCCUGGAAGCACCGCUAGGUGCAAGACCCGCUGCAAGAGCAACUCCAGACGUUAUGAACGUCUGGCAGAGCAAAGCUGAUGACUACUCGAUAGUUCAGUGUGCCAUGCUUUACGGCUUAGAAUCGGGACUUCAAAGACGUUUUGAACGUCAUGGAGCAUAUGAGAUGUUCCAGGAGUUGAAGUUAAUAUUUCAAGCAAAUGCCCGAGUUGAGAGAUAUGAAGUCUCCAACAAGUUCUACAGCUGCAAAAUGGAGGAGAAUAGUUUUGUCAGUGAACACAUACUCAGAAUGUCUCGGUACCAUAACCACUUGACUCAGAUGGGAGUUAAUCUUCCUGAUGAUAGUGUCAUUGACAGAGUUCUUCAAUCACUACCACCAAGCUAUAAAGGCUUCGUGAUGAACUAUAACAUGCAAGGGAUGGAAAAGACAAUUCCCGAGCUCUUCGCGAUGCUAAAGGCUGCAGAGGUAGAAAUCAAGAAGGAGCAUCAAGUGUUGAUGGUGAACAAGUGAAAGUGCAAUCAUGCCCUUAAUCUUAUUUUGAUGUUGAUGACAACUUGCAUAUAGGGGACUAAUCAUUUUUAUCAAGUAUAUCUCAGGAUUAAGUCUCAAGGGCCGGAUGUGGAUCAUGACUACGGACAAAUUUAUAUCACUUAAGAGCGGAGAUACAAGACAAUAGCUUUGGCUCUUUUUUGGUUUGUUCUUGAGUAUAGGGAUCCCACACUAUUAAGAGGGGACCGUCGGAUUUCGUGAAAGACUUGCUCAAAACCCACAAAGUAUCCUCUCACUACAUCUCUGCUUCACCCCUAGCUCUUUCAUUAUCUUGUGCACAAAGUUCUUUGUGCUCAUGAGCUAGUGUGCUCUGUUUUCACUGGACGACCGGUAAUCUAUGGACGUCCGGCCCUUCACAGCCGACCGGGCGUCUGGCUCUCUCCGGAUGUCCGGUGCAUCCUCACAGAAAGAAUAUAGCGGAAAUCCGGUCCACUCCGGACGACCGGUCACCGGACAUCCUUUUCUCUCCGGAAAUCCAGUAUUGCUUCAAUAGAAAACUUACUAACGGAUUUUCGGUCCUCACCGGACAACCGGUCACCGGACGACCGGCGCCUUACGGAUGUCCGGUGGCUGUGUGCCUUGUGCUUCUUUUGUGGCCUGGUAGGACUCCCAGCGACCGGACGACCGGCGGCCCGACCGGACGUUCGGUCCAAUCUGAGCCACCGGACUUCCGGUACUCACUGGACGUCCGACAACUUCAGUACACUAAGUGGCUCAACGGUCAGUUUUACACUACUAUUAGCCUCCUCCCUCCACGAGAUAAGGCGGACCAUUCACUUUGAGCUCUCCAAGAACACAUUUCACUCCCUCUCUUGAUCCCCCACACCAAAUCCUAGAUCCCCAGGAUAGUUAUGAGGAUGAUGAUAUAGAUGAUCCUAUGCUGGCUAAACUAAAUAAGUUCAUGUGCUCUCUCAAAGGAAAGAAUCUCACUAUGUUUUGUAUGCUUAUGGAGAUGGUCAGUAAGCACACCAUCACCGUUAAGGAACUCAAAACCCUCAUCACCGAGGAAAAGGAAAAAUAUGAAAUCCUUGAGAGGAAAGUCCAAUAUGAGGAAGCACGAAAUGAUGAACUACGCUUGAAAAUUGGUGCAAACAUUGAUGUUCAUGCUAGAGAUCUUGCCUCCUUGAAAAAGGCUAAGGACUCUUGCGAAGAGUUGAUGAAUGAUAAAAGUAAACUUGCUAAGUCUCAUGCUUCUCUCUCUACGGAUUAUGAGCUCCUUUCCGUGUCUCUCAAGACUAAGGAAGAAGAGCUCACCCUUCUUACAAAGAGGUUUGAGACGCUCAAGCUUAAUUAUCUUGAAACUCUAGCCAAGGCUUACUCUUCUCCCAUUAUUAAUGUUGAUGCUUGUACUAAUAACUCUAGUAAUGACCUAGCAUCUAUUCUUGAGGAGAAUCGCUUUCUCAAGGCUCAAAUCGAGAAAGAUCUCAUGACAUGUGCUCAAGGACAAAAGAAUCUUAAUGAGGUACUGAGCCAACACAAUGAGGUGUUUGCCAAAGAGGGGCUCGGGUUUGACCCAAGCACAAGCAAGAAGAAGAAGUCUUCUCAAAAGUGCACCACCUCUCUAAAAGAAACAUUUGUACGAGAAGGGCACAAGGAAAAAGGUAAGGUUGUUAGUGGGAAGGCCACAAGGGGCAUGCCCACUCUCAACAAGCCAAAAGAGUUCAUGCCUCCAUCCUAUGUACUUCGUAAGACUAAGGAUGGAGGAGUUUAUGCAAAAUUUGUUGGUCCUCGAAAUGCAUUCCGAUUCUAUGCUAUUUGGGUCCCUAAGACCCUUGUGACUAACUUGAGAGGUCCCAUUGCAAAAUGGGUGCCUCUAACCUAGUCAUAAUUGUGUGUAGGUGGCUUUCUCUGGUGGAGUAAAAUGGGUGAUUGAUAGUGGAUGUACCAAUCAUAUGACCGGAUAUAGCAAAUUGCUCUACGAUUUCAUGGAAGAUAUUCAACCAAUUAUGAGCAUUAUGUUUGGUGGAGGAUCAAAAGGACAGAUACUCGGGUUAGGCAAGGUGGCUAUCACAAAUGACAUGUCUCUUGCAAAUGUCAUGUUUGUUCAAUCCCUUAACUAUCAUAUGAUUUCUGUUUGCCAAUUGGCUUCUGUUGGUUAUGACACACUCUUUGGACUAACGGAUGUGAAAGUCUUUAAGAGAGAUACUCUCGAAGUGGCCUUUGUUGGAGAGUUGGAUGGGAACCUUUACACGGUUGAUUUCUCUAAAGAGAGCACAUUCCAUGCAACUUGUCUAAUGGCCAAGGCCGACAAGGGGUGGCUAUGGCAUCGCCGGCUAGCCCAUGUCGGCAUGAGAAAUCUUCAAGAUCUCUUAAAGGGUAAUCACAUCCUUGGACUAACCAAUGUCUCUUUUGAGAAAGAUCGUGUGUGUAGUGCUUGCAUAGUCGGGAAGCAACAUCAAUCAAAGCACCCACCCAAGAAUAUCGUGUCUACUUCAAGGCCUUUGGAACUCCUUCAUGUGGACCUUUUUGGGUCUCCUUCAUGGGAUAGGCUUGGUGGGAAAAAGUAUGGACUUGUCAUUGUUGAUGAUUACUCAAGAUAUACAUGGGUGUUUUUCCUCAAAUCCAAGGACGAGACAAAGAUCACCUUCAUUGAUUUUGCCAAGCAAGCACAACGCAAGUUUGACAAAGAAAUCUUGGCAAUAAGAAGUGAUAAUGGCUCCGAGUUCAAGAACUACACCUUGGAAGAAUUUCUUAGUGAUGAAGGGAUUGAGCAUCAAUAUUCAGCUCCAUACACUCCUUAGCAAAAUGGUGUAGCCGAAAGGAAGAACCGUACACUUGUGGAGAUGGCAAGGUCCAUGUUGGAUGAAUACAAGUCGCCACAUAGUUUUUGGGUCGAGGCUGUCAACACUGCAUGCCAUGCAUCAAACCGGCUCUUUCUCUGCACAAUAUUGGAAAAGACUCCAUAUGAGCUCCUAACUGGGAACACGCCAAAUGUCAAGUACUUUUGAGUAUUUUGGUGCAAAUGUUUCAUCCUCAACAAAAGGGAACGGUUAGGAAAAUUUCAAUCCAAAAUAAUUGAGGGCAUAUUUGUUGGCUAUGGAUCAAACUCUCACGCCUAUAGAGUCUACAACAAAUCCAAUGGAUGUGUUGUAGAAACUUGUGACAUGGUGUUUGAUGAAUCUAAUGGUUCCCAUGGGGAGCAAGUUGAUCUAAGUGAUGUAUGUGAAGAAGAUUCUUCUCAAGAUACUCUGACCAUGGGUGUUGGGGCACUUCUUCCAAUGGAACAAGAACCUCAUGAUGAUGAAGAAGAAGAUGGAAGCCUCACACAUCACCAAACUACUUCAACACCCAUACCACCUCAAGCUCCUAUUGCUCAACCAAUGCCCUUAGUCCAAGUACAAGAAGAUGAUCACGUUCCUCUUCAUGAUAAUCUUCAAGAACAAGAUCAUCAUCAAGGACAAGAACAAGAAAGUGCAAUUAUUGAUGAUGAACCUCAACAAAUGCAAUAUGAAGAAGAAGAUCUUCCACCACACAUCAAUGAUCCAUAUGUUGAGGACGUGGAUGAUGGACAUGAAGUUGAACCUCGCGAAACCUUAACCUCCAUCAUGCCUUGAGUGGUCGGUCGUGUUGAUGUUGAGAAAAUUUUCACCGACAUAUCAAAAGGUAGAGUCACUCGUAAACAUUUGACAAACUUUUGUGCUCACUUCUCGUUUGUGUCUAGUGUUGAGCCUCUUAAGGUACAAGAUGCAUUGAUGGACAACGAUUGGCUUGUUGCUAUGCAAGAAGAGCUGAACAGUUUUGAAUGCAACCAAGUGUGGUCAUUAGCCGAGAGGCCAACUACGGAGCACAAUGUCUUUGGAACAAAAUGGAUUUUCAAGAACAAGCAAGAUGAGAAUGGUGUAAUCAUCCGUAACAAGGCAAGGUUAGUGGCACAAGGGUACUCACAAGUUGAAGGUUUGGACUUUGGUGAGACUUUUGCCCCCGUUGCUCGUCUUGAAUCUAUUCGCAUCUUACUUGCUUAUGCCGCUUUCAGUGGUUUUACAUUACAUCAAAUGGAUGUGAAGAGUGCAUUCCUUAACGGUCCUCUACAAGAAGUAUAUGUAUCAUAACCACCUGGGUUCGUUGAUCCCGAUCACAAAGACUAUGUGUAUAAACUUCAUAAGGCUUUGUAUGGCUGAGGGAGUCCUGGAUUAAGGGGUCCUCGGGCGUCCGGGCUAUGUGAUGUGGGCCGGACUAAUGGGUCGUGAAGAUACAAGACAGAAGACUUGCUCCCGUGUCCGGAUGGGACUCUCCUUUGCGUGGAAGGCAAGCUUGGCGUUCGGAUAUGAAGAUUCCUUUCUCUGUAAACCGACUGUGUACAACCCUAGGUCCCUUUGGUGUCUAUAUAAACCGGAGGGUUUAGUCCGAAGGGGAGAAUCAUAAUCAUACAGGCUAGACAGCUAGGGUUUAGCCAUUACGAUCUCGAGGUAGAGCAACUCUUGUAAACCCCAUAUUCAUCCAAGAUAAUCAAGCAGGAAGUAGGGUAUUACCUCCAUCAAGAGGGCCCGAACCUGGGUAAACAUCGUGUCCCUGUCUCCUGUUACCUUUGAUCCUCAGACGCACAGUUCGGGACCCCCUACCCGAGAUCCGCCAGUUUUGACACCGACAUUGGUGCUUUCAUCGAGAGUUCCGCUGUGUCGUCGCCAGAAGGUUCGAUGGCUCCAUCAGUCAUCUACAACAAUGCUGCCCUAAGGGAGAUCUUUCUCCCCAGCCAGAUCUUUGUGUUCGGCGGCUUUGCACUACGGGCCAACUUGCUUAGCCAUCUAGAGCAGACCGACAGCUAUGCCCCAGGUCACCAGAUCAGUUUUGGAAAUCUAGAUUAUGUCGCGGAUAUCCAAGGAGACUUGAUCUUCCAAGGGUUCACGACCCCAACCUCCGCUCUGGCCUUAGAUCCGGAGCGCAUCACCAGGUCCGAAGACGGGACUCCCGAGCCCACCGAACUCUUUGCGGCUAUCGAGCCUGGUUCGGGAGAGCCAGAGGAAGCAGCGCCGCCGGCAAUCAUCGUGAAGCCGGACUCUUCUCCGAACACUGGCUCCGAACCCUCGGAGUCAGUAUCGUGUGAGCUCAGCCAAGGAGUUUUCUUCCCGCCGUACUCCACGGACUCUUUUCUCCCUGGCCAAACCUCGCCUUUAAGCGAGGCUCUGGACUUAAUGCGAUCCCUCAUCAUUACAGAGGGGCAACGUCCGAACUACGCCCAGCCCGGACUAGGGGCUGAGAGCAGGGAAUUUUACGUCCCACCCACCACCCACUUCAUAGCCACUGUCGAGGACUUAACCGACAUGCUCGAUUAUGGCUCUGAAGACAUCGACGGUAUGGACGACGAUGCCGGAGAAGAACAGGCCCAAAACCCGCCGUUUACCGGACGCUGGACGGCCACCUCUUCGUAUGACGUGUACAUGGUGGAUACACCCAAAGAGGGUAACAACGAUAACGAGAAAAACCCAGUUGAGGAUAAACUUCCUGAGACACAACCAAAGCACCGACGUCAGCGGCGCCGCUCUAAAUCAUGCCGUGGAAAAGACAGCAAUACCGGCACCGGGGACAACAACAGUCCGGACGACGCCGAAGACCAAGAAGACCCCGUCGAGCCAACCUCCGAACAGGACGAUCGGGAAGAUGGGCAAAUUGGCCCUGAUGAACAGGCUGUAAAGACUCGGAUGACAGUAAUUAUCUUCCACUCUCCGAGGAUGAGGUGAGCCUCGGCGACGAAGACUUUAUCGUGCCCGAGGAACCCCUUCAGCAGGAGCGCUUUAAGCGCCGGCUAAUAGCCACUGCAAGGAGCCUGAAAAAGAAGCAGCAACAGCUUCAAGCUGACCAAGAUCUGCUCAAUGACAGGUGGGCUAAUGUCCUGGCAGCCGAGGAAUACAGCCUCAGGCGCCCAACCAAGAGUUACCCGAAGCGUAAGCUGCUACCUCAAUUCGACGACGAGGCGCUGGAGCCUAUACCGUCAGCGCGUAACGCGGCCGACCGACCACCACGUGGCCGUGACAAAACAGCAACUCAAGCCAAACACCAGCCCGUACUACCUAACCGAAAAGGUAGAGACACAAUAGCUUGGGGAUAUACGUACGACCUACGACAGGACUUGGAAAAUAGAGUAGGUCAGACCAGAUCGAUCUACGGAUCGCAGGGGCGUGCCCCGAUGCGCGAGGACGGCUAUCUAGCCGGGCGCGACAAGCAUAACCACCCCGGGACGAAAACCGCAGACAUACUCCAUCCGAGCUGCGUUGUGACUUGGCCCGAUAUAGAGGCGCCGCACACCCCCUCUGCUUCCCUGACGAAGUAAUGGAGCACGAAUUCCCAGAAGGGUUUAAACCCGUGAAUAUCGAAUCAUAUGAUGGAAUAACAGAUCCGGCAGUAUGGAUUGAAGAUUUUCUUCUCCAUAUUCAUAUGGCUCCCGGUGAUGAUCUUCAUGCCAUCAAAUACCUCCCGCUAAAGCUCAAAGGACCAGCCCGGCACUGGUUAAACAACUUGCCAGAAAACUCCAUUGGCAGCUAGGAGGACUUGGUAGACGCCUUCCGCGACAACUUCCAGGGUACAUACGUCCGACCUCCGGAUGCCGAUGACCUAAGUCACAUAGUUCAACAGCCCGGAGAGUCGGCCAGGAAAUUCUGGACUAGGUUCCUAACUAAAAAGAACCAGAUCGUCGACUGUCCAGAUGCCGAAGCCCUAGCGGCCUUUAAGCAUAGCAUUCGCGACGAAUGGCUCGCCCGACACCUCGGCCAAGAAAAGCCGAAGUCCAUGGCAGCCCUCACGACACUUAUGACCCGCUUUUGCGCGGGCGAAGAUAGUUGGCUGGCCCGAGCAGCAACAAUGUAAGCGAACCUGGCACCUCUGAAGCCAGAAAUAGCAGCGGCAAACCCCAACACAACAGGCACAAGCGUCGGAAUAACGGUGACAAUACCGACGACACGGUGGUCAACGCCGGAUUUAGUGGCUCCAAGUCCGGUCAACGGAAGAAGCCAUUUAAAAGAAGCAAUCCGGGCUCAUCCAGCUUGGACCGAAUCCUCGAUCGACCAUGUCAGAUCCACGACACCCCCGAUGAACCCGCCAAUCAUACCAACAGAAGCUGUUGGGUCUUUAAACAAGCCAGUGAGUUAAAUACCAAGAAUAAGGAGAAGGGGUCGCCAAGUGAGGACGAUGACAAGGAGCCCCGUCCACCGAACACAGGGGGACAGAAGAAAUUCCACCCCCAAGUCAAAACGGUGAACAUGAUAUACAUUACUCAUAUCCCCAAGAGGGAGCGCAAACGCGCGCUCAGGGACGUCUAUGCUAUAGAGCCAGUCGCCCCAAAAUUCAAUCCAUGGUCAUCCUGCCCGAUCACUUUCAAUCGCAAGGACCAUCCGACCAGUAUCCGUCACGGCGGCUCGGCUGCACUGGUCCUCGACCCAAUCAUUGAUGGAUUCCACCUCACUUGAGUUCUCAUGGACGGUGGCAGUAGCCUUAACCUGCUCUAUCAGGACAUAGUCCGCAAGAUGGGCAUCGAUCCGUCAAGGAUCAAGCCCACAAAAACUACCUUCAAAGGAGUAAUACUAGGUAUAGAGGCCCGUUGCACGGGCUCAAUCACAUUGGAAGUCGUCUUCGGAUCGCCGGACAACUUCCAAAGUGAAGACUUGAUCUUCGACAUCGUCCCCUUCCGCAGUGGCUAUCACGCACUGCUCGGACGAACCGCAUUUGCUCGCUUUAAUGCGGUGCCACACUAUGCCUAUCUCAAAAUUAAGAUGCCCAGACCACGCGGUGUCAUAACAGUCAACGGAAACACGAAACGCUCCCUUCAUACUGAGGAGCACACCACGACCCUGGCAGUGGAAGUAUAGGGCGACCUUAUCAAGCAGAACAUCAAUUCGGCGGCCAAGCCCCCAGACACUAUUAAACGAGUCCGGACUACUCCGCAGCAUGACAGUCCAGCUCGUCAGGAGUUCGACUAGCAAUUCGGCCUCCGUCUCAGUCCCGACCGGCCUACGGCAUACGUACCACGCGUACAUAAUUACGCACUAAAAAUACCAUGGGCAAAGACGGAGGCAGAACUCGAUCAUGGCCCACUAUACAGCUCGACCUCCUCUGGGCGCUCAUACUUUCCCUUUUCUUUCUAUCCUUUUCAGGUUUAUUUUCCACGGGCCCCUCACGACGGCUUGAUCGUCGAUCCUUUCGAAGGAUGAACAUACCAAGGAGGCAAGUAGCAUAGACGUGUGGCAGAAUACCUAGAUGAUCUUCUUGGCGAUCACUUCACCUGUUUUCAGGACCCACACACAGCUUCCCCUUGGUCUCGGCAUGUUAAAUAGCCCUAUUGCUUAUCGCAUUACCUGUACAAAAUAUGCUUUGACAUAUUAAUCAGGUUAUAAUGGAAAUAGUUUCCGGCCAAACAUACGUGGCACUGGCCUACUCCUUCAUUAUAUUUCACUACUUUUAUCGAUUGCACUCGUACACAUUGGUCCGCCUUAAAUCGCCAGGGGCUCCAUUGCGCUCCAUACGUUUGCAACAAGUCCGAACACUUUUUACAGUAUAAUUCGGCGCCCCGAAUAUAGCAUUAUAUGCAACGGCUCUGAAUCAUGUCUUUGGUCAAUAGUUGGGUUGCCCGGCUCCUGUGCUUGCUACCUUACGUUCCGUUUUAUCGGCUAGGGUAGUAAAGGAAGAACUACUGCGAUUGUGUUUCUGGUUCAUCCGGAUAAACACCUCAGUAGAGAAAGCCGAAAACUGACUGUCAUGAUGCGGCGAGAGCUGGUCUGCUAUUCGGUGGCUAAAAUCUCUUGCGAUUUUUUCCGCAUUAUGCGACGGAUCGGCCUCCACCCAAUCAGGUGUCUACAGCGCCCUAGUCCGGAUAAACAAAUACUAACUAGGGGCUGCGCCUACACUCCCAUUGUCAAACUCCUAUGGCUUAUAGUGUCAAAAUAGAACAACAUGAGUGUUGUGUUUAAUUUCGAAAAUUUUCGGGGUUCAUUUGGACAUCUUUAUACAUUAACUGAGAUUUCGAGGCAUUUUAUGCGCAUAAUUCAAAUUUGAACUACACGCACAAGAUCCAGUGCAUAUAAACUGGUUGAAAAAUCAAAUAUGUGUCCUUGGUUGCAUGCUUAGAUCCCAUGCAAGAAAUGGGAAUGAAUUUCAAACACCCUGCCACCGUCACUCCGCCGCAAACAUUGAGAUACCUGGUUUUUAAAUUCUAGUAAAUCCAAAACUCGUCUGAAAUUCAUGAAACUUGGCAUGCUAUCAUGGAGCGGCAUCAACAUGCCGUGGUAAAAAAUUUGUACCAUUUGGGGCAGGUUUGGGUAUAAGCUUCUCAUAAACCAAAGCUUCUCACAACAAGCGUGAUGGUUUCGGUAGGGAACGUGCCACCUUUGGGGACGAAACGAUAUCCAUUGCCUCUUAUUGCUUUCAAAAAUUUUCUAGUGUCAACAUAGAACAACAGGAGUGUUGUGUUUAAUUUUGGAAUUUUUGGGGGUUCAUUUGGACAUUUUUAUACAUUAACUGGGUUUUCUAGGCAUUUCAUGUGCAUAAUUCAAAUUUGAACUACAUGCACAAGCUCCAGUGCAUAUAAAUUGCUUGAAAAAUCAAAUAUGUGUCCUUCGGGGCAUGCUUAGGUCCCAUGCAAGAAAUGGGAAUGAAUUUCAAACACCAGGGCACUGUUGAUUGUCGGCAAAACGUUGAGAUACUUUGUUUUUAAAUUCUAGUAAAUCCAAAACUCGUCUGAAAUUCAUGAAACUUGGCAUGCUAUAAUGGAAUGGCACCCGACAUGCUGAGGUAUUUUCCGUGUCCAUUUUGAGAGAAGGCGCACUCGAAUAACAGCCAACAAAGGCAUUUUGAAAUAAAUAGCUGGCACUGCAACAUCUCAAACGUUUUGUAUAAUUUAAAUUGUGUGCGUUCUGUUAACCAUUCACGUGACGCCACGCCUCACUAUUUUAAUGGCUAGGAGGUGCCGUGCGGACAGGUGCUUGAGUGCUUGACUAAAUGGAAGGCGUGCGAGCUGUACUCCAAUGCGGAGGCUCACCGGGAAGCAUGCGAGCUGUACGCCGCACAUGCUCACUGGGAAGCAAGCCCUUUGACUUCCAUGGACGCCCACUUUGCUCGCAUCCUCUACACUAAUGGCGCCCAAGCUGCAGUUUAAUAUGGUUUUUAAAUAUAAAACACUCAUCGCAAAUGUUUUAGUUAGAACACCCGUAUGCAAAACCGAUAAUUUCCCCAGGAAGCCAAGGGUAAAUGUGCCUAGCAGGAUUUGUGCAGCUCUUGAUCGCAAAUGUUUUAGUUAUAACACAUGUAUGCAAACCGAUAGCUUCCCCAGGAAGCCAAGAGAAAAUGUGCCGAGCAGGAUUUCUGCAGCUCUUGAUCGCAAACGUUUUAGGUAGAACACCCAUAUGCAAAGUGAGAGCUAUGGUCUUCCCCCUUAACUCGAGGGAAAAUCCGCAGCGCGGGAUUUGUGCAUCCCUUCAACGCAAACGGUUGUUUUGGAUGACCCGUGUGCAACCACGUACAAAUAAUUUGGUAAGAUUUGCAUCUGUCAUAUUGGGUAUGUUGCCAUUUGUCAAACUGGAAAGAUUGACAUUUGUUGAUCUAGUAACAUUGCCAUUUGUCAAUCCUUGUAACACUGCGAUUUGUCAAAAUAUGCAGCUAGAAAUCACUAGCACUAUCAAAUUUUUGCAAUUAAAAUUCAGUAAUUAAGCAUAGAUUUCAUUCAUAGAUUAAGCAGUCGUUCUUAAUUUAUACAAACAGUUCAACUCGACAGCUGAACCGACCAAACUUUUCUCCAAUUGUUGCCAACCACGUACUAAAAUAGCUAGUUCAACUAUAUAUACUAGCUAAUUUUAAUUAUAUUGUACAGUUAGACCACACAUCUAUAGUCAGAUGAACUGAACAAAAUAGCCCCUAAAUACUACUACUACCACGGAGGGGCUUUGUGCUACUUCCGGUAGCCUCUCCUUUGUCGAGCGCGCUCAGUAAUAGGCAGAGGAAGAGGAGAAGCCUACCGACGAGCUGGAGAAAUGCAAUACGGUGCCUGCCGCUGCUGCACGUUCAGCGACGGCCACUGUGACCGGCAAUGGGGUGGCGGCCACGACGGCCACCUCCCGCCUUCGGGCCGUGGCGGCGGAGCGGGAGAUGGCCCUGGCUUUCGACGGUGGUGUGGCAGCAACGGCGGCCGGCAACAGCUGCCGACGGGCAGCGGCGGCGGAGCGUGUGGUGGGUGUUCCGCGCACACCCAACAGGGACGCCACGCGCACCACACUAUGCCAGGGACUACGCCGGCGCCGCGGUGUAGCCUCCCAGCUGGAGCUGUCCUCUGAUGACGGCGGAGUGGCUGAGCGACGACGAGAGACCGGUGCCAUUGGCGAUUGUGGGAGAAGCAGACGAGAUAAGCUAUAGGCAGGGAGGGGAAAAUGCGACGCAGGACUCGCCGGUCGUGAGGGUUUUUAUAGCAGGCCGGUAAGCAUUGGGAUUUUGGGGGAUUUCACCGAGUCGGGCGGGAAGCUUGCGCGGUAACCCGCGAGUUUGCACGGGAACGGGCUCACAGACGAUUCAUUGGCACCACUUCGAGCCACCGUUUGGCCAAAAGAACGCCCCUGCGCGCUGCGCAAGCUUGCGCUAUAAGCCGUCUGCGACAGCGGGGUGACAAGACGUGCAAGAGGAGGACGGAAGGACACGUACACAUACGGUUAAUACAAAAAAAAACGUUUGUGAUUUAAUUAGCUACUAUACCCCUGUCCUGGUUUAUAAGUAGGAUUUAACUAAUAAAAUACGAAUGCAUGUCGCCAAAGAUUAUAUCGUUGGAGUUGUAUUUAAACAUAGUUUCCAGCUAUAGAAUUUUUGUAACAUGCAUUAACACUUUUUUGGUUAAAUUUAAGGUUAUAUACUAGCAAGCGUUUGCCCGCAACACACACGGCUUAUUCCAUCACAAACAGCUCGGAUGGAUCAACUGUAUGCCAUGUAUCGCACACACAACUCUAAUCAUUCGUGCUUGAUGUCUCCGACAUCGCUCACAUAGUUCGUCUUAUUUGCCACGUAUCACUAUGCCGGCCUCUGCUCGCGUCCCUCGGCAAGCUCUGCUCGCGUCCGUUGGCGCGCUCUACUCGCGUCCGUCCGCACGCUCGGCUUGUGGAUAGCUUUUCCUUGCGUGUUCAACUGCUAUAUGCACAUAUAUAUGGUUGCUCGCCGUUGAGGCGACCGCGGAGCGCUCUGCUCGCGUCCCUCCGCGCGCGCUCUGCCAGCGGUUGGGCGUGCACAUGAUCACGUCGGGGCCCCCAUAUGCAUGCGGUUGCACCGCGCGCAUUGCCACGCGAUGCAGUUACGUGCGGCAGGAUGGAGUUACGCGCUGCAAAUUAGAACUGCCAUCAGGGCCUGCCAAUAUUCCUGGCCGUUCGGCUUCCCCUUUAAUUCCCGCGGCCAUUAUAACCUUAGUCUCUUCAACCUUUUGAUCGUGCCCCACAACACAACAAGCACACCCACGACGACACAUAGAGAGGGAUGUCUAGCAGCGCUCCAAUGGAGUUCGGCGAGCAUAGAGUGGAGACCCACGCGAGGGAGACGGAUCUCUCGGUGGUGUACACCAUCGACCCGGCCGUGGUGGACGACUACAUCAACAGCUUUGAGCAGUUGCUUGCUCGAGACAAGUACAAGGUGGUCGGCCCUCCAGUACACCACCGGUCGUCCCGGCAUAGGUCAGAAGGUUGUCGUUGCCCAGUUGUGCGUGAGCCAUCAUGUACUCAUCUACCACUACUGCAUGGACACAGAGCCUUGCGACCGUUUCAACAGGUUUGUCAACAGCACCGACUACAAGUUCACCACGGUGGAAACCACCGACGAUGUAAAAGCGCUCAGUGUUACGGGCUUGGCCUGCAAGAACCUUGUCGAAAUCCGUGACCACUACAGGGUCUGGGGCAUCACAAAGGACUCCUUGGUCGAACUCGCCUCGGCCAUCAUCGACCCCUACUACGAAAAGAUGAAGCAGGAUGCCCAGAGAACAAGUCCCCUAUUCUGGCACAGGGCCUGGAUGCGGCAACUGGACGAACCUCACCUCAGGUUCGCAGGCAAGAGCGUGUACACAUGCUACAAGAUGCACAGGUGGAUCGUUGACAUGAGGAAGUGCCUCGUUACCCAAAUCGACAAGCCCGGAUCGAGCCACAAGCAGAGCAAGCGUCACAAGAAGUAGAUGAUGAUCAGAUGAUCGUUUAUGCUAGUUAAUCAUGCAUGUAAUAUAUAGUUUACUUUAUUGGUGUGUGGAAAUGUCAUGUGUGUAGUAGCCACCUAUGUAAUUAUGCAUGUAAUAGUUUACUUUGGUGUGUGCAAAUGCCAGGGUUGUAGUAGCUACCUAUGUAAGUGGAUGUUUAAUUUGGUUAUGCAACCAUGUCCUUAUAAGUGUGUGUGUGUGUGUGUAUACAUACAUACAUACAUACAUACAUACAUACAUACAUACAUACAUACAUACAUACAUACAUACAUACAUACAUACACACACAUACACACACAUAUAUAUAUAUAUGUUGUUGUUCUGUAUGCAAUCCCAUCGCACAACACACACGACUUAUUACCAGCAACCGUCUGUGUUAUUAUUGGUCUUCGCACACAUUUCUGAUUACAGACCUGUUUGCCGCGUAUCCCACACAUUUCUGUUCUCUUGUCUCAACACAAACAGUUCAUCCGAGUGAAUCGCAUGCCGUAUAUCGCACACACCUUGAUCUGGCUGAUCGUUUCUUUUGUGUUGCCCAAUCACAAACAGUUCAUCUGAGUGAACCAUAUGCUGUAUAUCGCACACACCUCCAUAUGGCUGCCCGUUUCUUUUGUUCCUCCUCAUUGCAAAUAGUUAAUUGAACUGAACCGUAUGCCCUGCAUCACACACGCAACUAAAAUCUGAACCGUGUUUGAUGCAUCCUCCAUCGCAAACGUUUUGCACAUUUUUUGACGGGUUUUUACACCACCGUUUGCGAUUAUGGCAUCGCACAUAGUUUCGUCGAAGGGUCUCUGAACGUAGUAUCGCGUUAGCAGCAUCAUGUAGUAGUGGAUAACGCCAUGCGAGCCAUCGGAUUAAAUCUACCUCCAUCGGCCAUGGUCUUGGUCAUGACCGUUGUUAUGGAAAAUCUUGGAGAGCGGCGACGCGGCACGGGGGUGGAUCUUCCCCCGCCCCGCUUCUGCACCUCCGUGUGUGCCACGGUUGAUGGUGCCGUCGAGGAUGGAAAUGAUGAAGCUGACGCGCGGUGUGCACUUUCAGGUCCGCGCAAGCGCUCCCCCUACCUGGCGCGCCAAAGAUGUCGCGGGAUUUCCGCGGCCACCUAUGGGACCGGGUGGCCCCUUGUUGGUUCGGCAGGGGGACGACGCGUUGCACAAAGAGCAGACCAGUGCGCGGCUGCGCGACAGAGAGCACACAAUCGAUUUACCCAGGUUCGGGCUGCCGCGAGCCAUAAGACCCUACUCCUACUUUAGUGGAUUGAUGAAGGAAUGGAUGUGGUGGUGUGUAGUACACUUGCCCAGCAAGGUUUGCCCGAGGCGACUACGUGUAUGUGGUGGCUUGGGGUUGUCAACUUUCCAACCUUCUAACCCCUCCCACGAGUGCCAUCGACCUUCUUUUAUAGAAUAAGGGGUCACCAUAGUGGCAAAGUGGUCAUUGUCCACUGAUAUGAUAGCAAAUAGUUCUAUCAUACCUAACUCUGCGGGCUGACAGGGCGCAUUAAAUGCGCCGCUUAGUGUCACAUCAAGAUAAGCAUAUUUCAGAGUAUCAUGUAAUUCUUUAAGCUCAAACACGGGAUCACCCUUAGGUGGAGGAGGAUCCCCAAGGAUUUCAACAGGCAAAUUGUGUUUCAAAAUAGGUCCUUGAUUAAAGAAUACUUCAUCUAUUUCCCUUCUUUCAUUCAUAAACAGAUCAUUUUCAUGGUCUAGCAAAUAUUGUUCUAAAGGAUCAGCAGGAGGCACGGCAAUAGAAGCAAGACCAAUAAUUUCAUCCUUACUAGGCAAUUCUUUAUCAUGGGGUUGUCUACGGAAUUUAGAGAAAUUAAAAUCAUGAGACAUAUCCCCUAAACCAACAGUAACAAUGUCUUUCUCGCAGUCUAUCUUAGCAUUAACAGUAUUCAAGAAAGGUCUACCAAAUAUAAUGGGACAAAAAUUAUCUUGUGGGGAAGCAAGAACAAGAAAAUCGGUAGGAUAUUUUAUCUUCCCACACAAGACUUCAACAUCCCUAACAAUCCCAAUUGGUGAUAUAGUAUCUCUAUUGGCAAGCUUAAUAGUAACAUCAAUAUCUUCUAUCUCAGUAGGUGCAAUUUCAUUCAUAAAUUCUUUAUAUAUAUAAGGUAUAAGGAAUUGAACUCACACUAGCACCCACAUCACAUAAGCCAUGAUAACAAUGAUCUCCAAUCUUAACAGAAACAACAGGCAUGCCAACAACAGGUUUAGCAAUUCUAGCAGCUUCAUCACAAAAAUAAGUAACAUGCCCAUCAAUAUUAUCAACCAAGAGAUCUUUAACCAUAGCAAUACUAGGUUCAACUUUAACUUGCUCAGAGGGUUUGGGUGUUCUAAUAUUACUUUUGUUGACCACAGUUGAAGCUUUAGCAUGAUCCUUUAUUCUAACAGGGAAUGAUGGUUUCCCAAUAUAAGCAGUAGGAACAAUAGGAUCAACAUUAUAAGUAAUAGUUUCUUCUUCAACUUUAAUGGGUUCAUGUCGCGGUAUUUCCGCGGAGACCUAUGGGACCGGGCGGCCCCUUGUUGGUUCGGCAUGGGAUGACACGUUGCACUAAGAGCAGAUCAGUGCGUGGCAAUUUCAACCGGUUGUAGUUCCAUGAUCCAAUAUCAUCCAAUAGCCUAUACCAUGUCAAUGCCUUUCCCUUCAAAGAUAAGGGGAAGACCAUCUUCUUGACAACAUCCUCGGGAAUACCUGCAAGCUUAAAUAAUCCACAAACUUCAUCCACAUAGAUUAGGUGCAUCAGGAUGUAAUGUUCCAUCUCCUGCAUAAGGAUUAGCUAGCAGUUUCUCUAUCAUAACCGAAGGAAUUUCAUAAUAAAUAUUUCCAGUAGGUGCAGUAGGUUGAGGGGCAACUAAUUGUGGUUCCGGUCGAGGUGAAGAUACCCCGAACAAACCCCUCAAAGGAUCAUUUUCCAUAGUAACAAGCGAUAGUAAAUUUUAGCACACUAUAUAAAUGUUUCCUUACCAAAUUCCACUUACCAAAGGCGCUUCACUCCCCGACAACGGCGCCAGAAAAGAGUCUUGAUGACCCACAAGUAUGGGGGAUCUAUCAUAGUCUUCUCGAUAAGUAAGAGUGUCGAACCCAACGAGGAGCAGAAGGAAAUGACAAGUGGUUUUCAGCAAGGUAUUCUCUGCAAGCACUGAAAUUAUCGGUAACAGAUAGUUUUGUGAUAAGAUAAUUCAUAAUGGGUAACAAGUAAAUAAAGUAACUAAGGUGCAGCAAGGUGGCCCAAUCCUUUUUUUAGCAAAGGACAAGCCUGACGAACUCUUACAUAAAGCAAAGCGCUCCCAAGGACACAUGGGAAUUGUUGUCCAGCUAGUUUUCAUCAUGCUCAUAUGAUUCACGUUCGUUACUUGUAUAAUUUGAUAUGUGGGUGGACCGGUGCUUGGGUGCUGCCCUUCCUUGGACAAGCCUCCCACUUAUGAUUAACCCCUCUCGCAAGCAUCCACAACUACCAAAGAAUAAUUAAGGUAAACCUAACCAUAGCAUGAAACAUAUGGAUCCAAAUCAGCCCCUUACGAAGCAACACAUAAACUAGGGUUUAAGCUUCUGCCACUCUAGCAACCCAUCAUCUACUUAUUAAUUUCCAAUGCCUUCCCCUAGGCCCAAAUAAUGGUGAAGUGUCAUGUAGUCGACGUUCACAUAACACCACUAGAGGAGAGACAACAUACAUCUCAUCAAAAUAUUGAACGAAUACCAAAUUCACAUGACUACUUAUAACAAGACGUCUCCCAUGUCCUCAGGAACAAACAUAACUACUCACAAAGCAUAUUCAUAAUCAUAAUCAGAGGAGUAUUAAUUAUCAUUAAGGAUCUAAAAAUAUAAUCUUCCACCGGAUAAACCAACUAGCAUCAACUACAAGGAGUAAUCAACACUACUAGCAACCCACAGGUACCAAUCUGAGGUUUUGGGACCAAGAUCGAACACAAGAGAUGAACUAGGGUUUGAGAGGAGAUGGUGCUGGUGAAGAUUUUGAUGGAGAUUGACCCCUCUCGAUGAGAGGAUCGAUGGUGAUGACGAUGGCGGCGAUUUCCCCCUCCCGGAGGGAUGUUUCCCAGGCAGAAAAGCUCAGCCGGAGCCCUAGAUUGGUUCUGCCUAGGUUUUGCCUCGAGAUGGCGGUGCUUCGUCCCGAAAGCUUCCUUUUGAUUUUUCCAGGUCAAAACACACCAUAUAGCCAAAUAUGGGCACUGGAGGCCUGCCAGGGGCACGCCCUCCACCCUUGUGGCUGGCUGGUGGCCCCCCUCUGGUACUUUCUUUGCCCAAUAUUUUUUAGAUAUUCCAAAACAUGCUCCGUGAAGUUUCAGGACUUUUGGAGUUUCGCAGAAUAGGUCUCCAAUAUUUGCUCCUUUUCCAGUCCAGAAUUCCAGCUGCCGGCAUUCUCCCUCUUCAUGUAAAUCUUAUAAAAUAAGAGAGAAUAGGCAUAAGUAUUGUGAUAUAAUGUGUAAUAACAACCCAUAAUGCAAUAAAUAUCAAUAUAAAAGCAUGAUGCAAAAUGGACGUAUCACCAUGAGGAAGUGAGUUGGGAUAACACAGAGGACGUGGCGGACGAGUGCCAGCCGGUCGCCGCGAGAGAGCAUGGAAGCGCGCCAUGUAGAAAGUUUCUGCUCGAGCUUGUGCACGAUGGGCAGCAAGCUGGUUGUGGUCGGCUUUCGGAUGGAUAGGGGUAGGCCCAGCUACUGCACAGGGAACUGCGUGACGGGGCAGUGCAUCUCUGCGGCGAUGAGGGCCGCAUGCUUGUCAGUGCACUGGAUGGGAGUGGCGGAGCACUUGGCAAAGUUCGUCUGCAGGCCAGAUGCCACACCGAAGACGCGGAGGAUCUCCCGAAUAGCCAACAUGUCGUGGCGAUCGGGGUGGCAGAAGAUGACGACACCGUCCGCAUAGACCGAGAUGCUAGAACUGGCGUGCCUGGGAGUGAGCCACUGGAGUAGCCCAAGUUUGACCGCACGGAUGAGCAUAGAGUUGAGGACGUCGAUGACGAUGGUGAACAGCAUGGGCGAGACAAGUUGGCAACGUGCCUUAGUCCAACUCGACCAAACGAAUAUUCAUUUUGUCCGGAUUUUGUUUGUUCGGGUCGGCAAAACGGAUACGCGCCUCGGUCAUUUGGUCGUCGGUGCGCCCAACCAGCCAGUCACAUCCUGAUUUAUCCCUUUUUGGGGCUUGAAAUUUGAACCCAAAUAGACAUUGCAAACAUAAUUCAAAACAUUAAUAUAAACAUAAACCUCUACAAAAGGCCAAUCCAACACAUUUAUUAACUAAACUUAAAUUUAAAAGACAUAAAAGAAACUAGAUAGCCCAUCACCGCCGUCAUCUUCAGUUGCCGCCAUCGUCGUCCUCGUCGCGCGCAAGGUCAAUGUAGGCCGGCAACGUCCAGAGGUGGGCUGGCAGCCCCGGCCAGGUGGGAGGCUACUGAAGGAAAUAUGCCCUAGAGGAAAUAAUAAAGUUGUUAUUUUAUAUUUCCUUAUUCAUGCUAAAGGUUUAUUAUUCAUGCUAUAAUUGUAUUGAUCAGAAACCUAAAUACAUGUGUGAAUACAUAAACAAAUAUCGUGUCCCUAGUAAGCCUCUACUAGCCUAGCUCGUUGAUCAAAGAUGGUUAAGGUUUCCUAACUAUAGACAUGUGUUGUCAUUUGAUAAUGGGAUCACAUCAUUAGGAGAAUGAUGUUAUGGACAAGACCCAUCCGUUAGCUUAGCAUAAUGAUCGUUCAGUUUAUUGCUAUUGCUUUUUUCAUGUCAAAUACAUAUUCCUUCGACUAUGAGAUUAUGCAACUCCUGAAUACCGGAGGAAUACCUCGUGUGCUAUCAAACGUCACAACAUAACUGGGUGAUCAUAAAGAUGCUCUACAGGUAUCUCCAAAGGUGUUUGUUGAGUUGUCAUAGAUCAAGCUUAGGAUUUGUCACUCCGAGUAUCGGAGAGGUAUCUCUGGGCCCUCUCGGUAAUACAUAUCAUAAGCUUGCAAGAAAAUGACUAAGGAGUUAGUCACGAGGUGAUGUAUUACAGAAUGAGUAAAGGGACUUGCCGGUAACGAGAUUGAACUAGGUAUAGAGAUAUCAACGAUCGAAUCUCGGGCAAGUAACAUACCGACAGACAAAGGGAAUUAUGUAUGUUGUCAUAAAGGUUCAACCGAUAAAAGAUCUUCGUGGAAUAUGUAGGAAUCAAUAUGGGCAUCCAGGUCCCGCUAUUGGUUAUUGACUGGAGAGGUGUCUCGGUCAUGACUACAUAAUUCCCGAACCCGUAGGGUCGCACGCUUAACAUUCGUUGACGCUAGAGUAGUAUUGGGAUAUUUGAUGAGUGGUAAAAAAAUGUUGUUUGGAGUCCCGGAUGAGAUCCCGGACAUCAUGAGGAGUCUCGGAAUGGUCGAGAGGUAAAGAUUUAUAUAUGGGAGGUCAUAUUUUGGGUUGCGGAAAAAGUGUAGUUUUUUCAGUAUUGUAUUGGGAAGCUUCUAGAAGGUUUCGGAGGAUUCCGGAGGGGUCCGGAAGUCCACAAGUUGGUCCACCAUGACCCAAGGGCUAGAAUGGGCUGUGGGGAGGUGCCCUGGCCUUAUUGGGCUAGGCGCACCAAGUCCUCAAAAGCCCAUGUGGCUAGGGAAGGCAAAAAAGGAAGGAGUCCUAGUAGGAAUAGGAUUGGACUUGGAGUCCAAGUCCUCUCCCCGUUAGCUGUGCCCUAGGGCUUGGAGGGGCUAUUUCCCACGCUCCUCCACCUAUAUAUAGAGGGGAGGGGGCGCUCCAAGAGGACACACCAAGCCCUUGGCGCCCCUCUCUCUCCCGUGACUCCGUAGUUCCACCGCCUUGUCCCGGCGACGCUUAGCGAAGCGCUGUUGGUACUCCACCACCACCAUCACCACCACGUCAUCGUGUUGGUUGUGAUCCCAUCUACUUCUCCUCUCUCUCUUGCUGGAUCAAGAAGGAGGAGACGUCAUCGAGCCACACGUGUGCUAAACUCGGAGGUGCCGUCCGUUCGGCACUAGAUCGGUUGGAUCGUGAAGAGUACAACUACAUCAACCGCGUUGUUAAAUGCUUCUGCUUACGGUCUACGAGGGUACGUAUACACACUCUCCCCUCUCAUUACUAUGCAUCUUCAUGGAUAGAUCUUGCGUGUGCAUAGAAUUUUUUUGUUUUCCAUGCAACAUUUCCCAACAACGGCUGUGGUGGUGCCUGCACAACCUCUGGCUGUGGCGGCGAUGGUGAUCACGUGUCGACGCCCGCGUACUCCAACGUGCACGGCACGGUGUCAGUCCACGACCAGGGCUGGCCGACCAAGGCCAGGUUCCACGUCGCGGGCUCCUCCUCCUCCUGCACCUCCUCCAUGGGCUCCUCCUUGACAACGGUGUCGAGCUCUGGGAUGGCGCGUCACCGACAGCGAAGAGGUCCAUCAUCACAUCGAGGCCCUCCCAUUGGCGCUCGUCGUGGGUGUGCCCGCCUCAUGAGCUCUGAUAACCCACAAGUAUAGGGGAUCACAAUAGUUUUCGAGGGUAGAGUAUUCAACCCAAAUUUAUAGAUUCGACACAAGGGGAGCAAAAGAAUAUUUGCAAGUAUUAGCAGAUGAGUUGUAAAUUCAACCACACCUGGAGAUUAAUUAUCUGCAGCAAAGUGAUCAGUAGCAAAGUAGUUUGAUAGUUUUGAUAAUAGUAGCAGCAGCAAUAGUAACAAUAGCAGUGGCAACUUAGCAAGAACAAUAUAAGAGAAAUUCAUAGGCAUUGGAUUGAUGAUUUUUUGGAUGAUAUUCAUCAUGCGACAGUCAUAACCUAGGGCGAUACGGCACUAGCUCCAGUUAAUAAAUAUAAUGUAGGCAUGUGCUACCUCUUGAGCAUGCGUUGGUUUUCCCUUGAAGAGGAAAGGGUGAUGCAGCAAAGUAGCGUAAGUAUUUCCCUCAGUUUUUGAGAACCAAGGUAUCAAUCCAGUAGGAGACUACACGCAAAUAGCCUAGUACCCGCACAAACAAUCAAGAACCUUGCAACCAACGCGAUAAAGGGGUUGUCAAUCCCUUCAUGGCCACAAGCAAAAGUGAGAUCUGAUAAAGGUAAUAAGAUAAAUAUUUUUGGUAUUUUUGUUGUAUAGAUUGGAAAAUAAAGAUUGCAAAAUAAAUAGUAAACUAGAAUUAUAGAUCGGAAACUUUUAUGAUGUAAAGUAGACCUGGGGGCAAUAGGUUUCACUAGUGGCUUCUCUCAAGAUAGCAUAUAUUACGGUGGGCGAACAAAUUACUGCGCAAUUGAUAGAAAAGCGCAUAGUUAUGAGAAUAUCUAGGCAUGAUCAUGAACAUAGGCAUCACGUCCGUGUCAAGUAGACCGAAAUGAUUCUGCAUCUACUACUAUUACUCCACACAUCGACCGCUAUCCAGCAUGCAUCUAGUUUAUUAAGUUCAUAAGAAUGGAGUAACGCAUUAGGCAAGAUGACAGGAUGUAGAGGGAUAAACUCAAGCAAUAUGAUAUAAACCCCAUCUUUUUAUCCUUGAUGGCAACAAUACAAUACGUGCCGGUUUCCUUUCUGUCACUGGGAUCGAGCACCGCAAGAUUGAACCCAAAGCUAAGCACUUCUCCCAUUGCAAGAAAGAUCAAUCUAGUAGGCCAAACUAAACCGAUAAUUCGAAGAGACUUGCAAAGAUAUUAAAUCAUGCAUAUAAGAAUUCAGAGAAGAAUCAAAUAUUGUUCAAAGAUAAUCUUGAUCAUAAACCCACAAUUUAUCGGAUCUUGGCAAACACACCGCAAAAAGAAUUACAUCGAAUAGAUCUCCAAGAAGAUCGAGGAGAACUUUGUAUUGAGAUACAAAGAGAGAGAAGAAGCCAUCUAGCUAAUAACUAUGGACCCGAAGGUCUGUGGUAAACUACUCACACAUCAUCGGAGAGGCUAUGGUGUUGAUGUAGAAGGCCUCCAUGAUCGAAUCCCCCUCCAGCAGAUUGCCGGAAAAGGCCCCAAGAUGGGAUCUCACAGGUACAGAAGGUUGCGGCGGUGGAAAAGUGGUUUCGUGGCUCCCCUGGAUGUUUUCAGGGUAUAAGAGUAUAUAUAGGCGAAAGAAGUAGGUCGGUGGAGCUACGAGGGGCCCACGGGGGUGGGGGGCGCGCCUACCCCCCUGGGCGGGCCCUCCUGCCUCGUGGACGCCUCGUUGCUUCCUUGACUUCCACUCCAAGUCUCCUGGAUUGCGUUUGUUCCAAAAAAGAUCCUCACGAAGGUUUCGUUCCGCUUGGAUUCCGUUUGAUAUUCCUUUUCCGCGAAACACUGAAAUAGGCAAAAAAACAGCAAUUUGCACUGGGCCUUCGGUUAAUAGGUUAGUCCUAAAAAUAAUAUAAAAGAGCAUAAUAAAGCCCAUUAAACAUCCAAAACAGAUAAUAUAAUAGCAUGGAACAAUCAAAAAUUAUAGAUACGUUGGAGACGUAUCAAGCAUCCCCAAGCUUAAUUCCUGCCCGUCCUCGAGUAGGUAAAUGAUAAAAUAGAAUUUUUGAUGUGGGAUGCUACCUAACAUAAUUUUCAAUAUAAUUCUCUUUAUUGUGGCAUGAAUGUUUAGAUCCAAAAGAUUCUAGACAAAGUUUUAAUAUUGACAUAAAAAUAGUAAUACCUCAAGCAUGCUAACCAAGCAAUUAUGUCUUAUCAAAAUAACAUAGCCAAAGAAAGCUUAUCCCUACAAAAUCAUAUAGUUUAGCCAUGCUUCAUUUUCGUCACACAAAAUGCUCCCAUCAUGCACAACCCCGAUGAGAAGCCAAGCAAUUGUUUCAUACUUAGCCUUUUCAAACUCUUUCAACUUUUACGCAAUAUAUGAGCGCAAGCCAUGGACAUAACACUAUGGGUGGAAUAGCAUAUGAUGAUGGGGGUUAUGUGAGAAGACAAAAAAGGAGAAAGUCUCACAUUGACGCGGCUAAUCAACGGGCUAUAGAGAUGCCCAUCAAUUGAUGUCAAUGCGAGGAGUAGGGAUUGCCAUGCAACGGAUGCACUAGAGCUAUAAAUAUAUGAAAGCUCAUCAAAAGAAACUAAGUGGGUGUGCAUCCAACUUGCUUGCUCACGAAGACCUAGGGCAUUUUGAGGAAGCCCAUCAUUGGAAUAUACAAGCCAAGUUCUAUAAUGAAAAAUUCCCACUAGUAUAUGAAAGUGACAAAAUAAGAAACUCUCUAUCAUGAAGAUCAAUGUGCUAUUUUGAAGCACAAGUGUGGAAAAAGGAUAGUAACAUUGUCCCUUCUCUCUUUUUCUCUCAUUUUUUUGUUUGGGCUUCUUUGGCCUCUUUUUUUAUUUGGGCUUCUUUGGCCUCUUUUUUUUCGUCCGGAGUCUCAUCCCGACUUGUGGGGGAAUCAUAGUCUCCAUCAUCCUUUCCUCACAUGGGACAAUGCUCUAAUAAUGAAAAUCAUCACACUUCUAUUUAUUUACAACUCAAGAAUUACAACUCGAUACUUAGAACAAAAUAUGACUCUAUGUGAAUGCCUCCGGCGGUGUAUCGGGAUAUGCAAUGAAUCAAGAGCGACAUGUAUGAAAGAAUUAUGAAGGUGGCUUUGCCACAAAUACGAUGUCAACUACAUGAUCAUGCAAAGCAAUAUGACAAUGAUGGAGCGUGUCAUAAUAAACGGAACGGUGGUAAGUUGCAUGGCAAUAUAUCUCAGAAUGGCUAUGGAAAUGCCAUAAUAGGUAGGUAUGGUGGCUGUUUUAAGGAAGAUAUAAGGAGGCUUAUGUGUGAUAAAGCGUAUCAUAUCACGGGGUUUGGAUGCACCGGCGAAGUUUGCACCAACUCUCGAGGUGAGAAAGGGCUAUGCACGGUACCGAAGAGGCUAGCAAUGAUGGAAGGGUGAGAGUGCGUAUAAUCCAUGGACUCAACAUUAGUCAUAAAGAACUCACAUACUUAUUGCAAAAAUCUACAAGUCAUCAAAACUAAGCACUACGCGCAUGCUCCUAGAGGGAUAGAUUGGUAGGAAAAGACCAUCGCUCGUCCCCGACCGCCACUCAUAAGGAAAGCAAUCAAAGAACACCCCAUGCUUCAAAUUUGUCACACAGGUUUACCAUACGUGCAUGCUACGGGACUUGCAAUCCUCAACACAAGUACUUCUCAAUUCCACAAUUACCCAACUAGCAUGACUCUAACAUUACCACCUUUAUAUCUCAAAACAACUAUCAAGUAUCAAACUCAUCAUAGUAUUUAAUGCACUCUAUAUGAAAGUUUUUAUUAUACCCAUCUUGGAUGCCUAUCAUAUUAGGACUAAUUUUAUAGCCAAAUCAAAUUACCAUGCUGUUCUAAAAGACUCUCAAAAUAAUAUAAGUGAAGCAUGAGAGAUCAACAAUUUCUAUAAAAUAAAACCACCACCAUGCUCUAAAAAGGUAUAAGUGAAGCACGAGAGCAACAUUUAUCUAGCUCAAAAGAUAUAAGUGAAGCACAUAGAGUAUUCUAAUAAAUUCCGAUACAUGUGUGUCUCUCCCAAACGGUGUGUACAGAAAGGAUGAUUGUGGUAAACUAAAAAGCAAAGACUCACAUCAUACAAGACGCUCCAAGCAAAACACAUAUCAUGUGGUGAAUAAAAAUAUAGCCUCAAGUAAAGUUACCGAUAGACGAAGACGAAAGAGGGGAUGCCUUCCGGGGCAUCCCCAAGAUUAGGCUUUUGGUUGUCCUUGAAUUUAACCUUGGGGUGCCUUGGGAAUCCCCAAGCUUAGGCUCUUGCCACUCCUUGUUCCAUAAUCCAUCAAAUCUUUACCUAAAAACUUGAAAACUUCACAACACAAAACUCAAACAGAAAAUCUCAUGAGCUCCGUUAGUAUAAGAAACAAACCACCACCUUAAGGUACUGUAAUGAACUCAUUCUUUAUUUAUAUUGGUGUUAAACCUACUGUAUUCCAACUUCUCUAUGGUUCAUACCCCCCGAUACUCGCCAUAGAUUCAUCAAAAUAAGCAAACAACACACGGAAAACAGAAUCUGCAAAAAAUAGAACAGUCUGUAGCAAUCUGAUUUGUUCGAAUACUUCUGAAACUCCAAAAAUUCUGAAAAACUUGGAAAACCUGGAUAAUUUGUAUAUUGAUCUACUUCAAAAAGAAUUGGUAUUUUAUCACGUUCUGGUGAUUUUUAACAAUUAUUUUUGUGAGUGUAAAGUUUCUGUCUUUUUCAGCAAGAUCAAACAACUAUCACCCAGGAAGAUCCUAUUGGUUCUACUUGGCACAAUCACUAAUUAAAACAUAAGAACACAUAUAAACAGAGGCUAGAUGAAUUAUUUAUUACUAAGCAGGAACAAAAAGCAAGGAACAAAAAUAAAAUUGGGUUGCCUCCCAACAAGCGCUAUCGUUUAACGCCCCUAGCUAGGCAUUGAUAAUUUUAAUGAUGCUUACAUUAAAGACAAGAAUUAAAGCACAAAGAGAGCAUCAUAGAACACGUGAUAAACACAUCUAAGUCUAACAUACUUCCUAUGCAUAGGAAUUUUAUAUGCAAACAAAUUAUCAUAGCAAGCAAAAAUUAGCAUAUGCAAGGAAGAAGAAAGAGACGAUAGCAAUCUCAACAUGACGAGACGUAAUUUAGUAAGAUAAAAAUUUAUACAACCAUAUUUUCCUCUCCCAUAAUAAUUACAUGUAGGAUCAUAGGAAAAUUCAACAAAAUAGCUAUCACAUAACAUAUUCUCAAUAGGAUCCACAUGCAUGCGAAGUUGACAGUCUUCCAAAAUAGUGGGAUUAUCAUUAACUAAAGUCAUGACCUCUCCAAACCCACUUUUAUCAAAGGGAUAAUUAGAUUUAUGCCCCUAGUUGUGUCCCACUCGUCUGUUUUACCCCUAAUUCCCAAAAGUCACCGGUUCUGUCCAAGUCACUUUGCUCCUCUUAUGCUUUUGCCCUUUGACCGUUUGACCGUCAGUUUGAAAACUUCAUAACUAAUUCAUACUGAAUCAGAAAAAUGCAAAUAAGAUACCAAAAUGUUCAGGAAAACAUCACCUAUAUGUCAGUGUCAUUUGCAUUCAUGAAAAAAGUGUUGGAAAGUGCACAUCCGAGUUUUAGCUCUUUUGAUACCACCAUGAAUAGUGAACUCUAAAAAAAUUCAAAACAAAUAUGGUGGCGAAGAACAACAAAUGUUCUAAGUGCUUGCCAAGUUUCAUUAGGGAACGACAUUCGUGGAAGUCGUGGCAAAAAAAUAAUCUAUUUUGGAGUGCUGAGUGUUUUUUUCCACGGCACCCACGAAUGUUAUUCCCUGAUGAAACUUGGGAGGCACUUAAAACAUUUGUCAUUCUUUGCCAGCAAUUUUUUUUUAAUUUUUUUGAACUUUUUUAGAUUUUACUAUUCAUGGUGGUAGCAUAAGAGCUAAAACUCGGAUGGGCACUUUCCAACACUUUUUUCAUGAAUGCAAAUGACACUGACAUAUAGGUGAUGUUUUUUUGAACAUUUUGGUAUCUUAUUUGCAUUUUUCCGAUUUAGUAUGAAUUAGUUAUGAAGUUUUCAAACUGAUGGUCCAACGGUCAAAGGGCAAAAGCAUAAUAGGAGCAAAGUGACUUGGACAGAACCAGUGACUUUUGGGAAUUAGGGGUAAAACAGACGAGUGGGACACAACUAGGGGCAUAAAUCUAAUUAUCCCUUUAUCAAAAAUACCAUAAGAUUGAACAUUCUCCAAAUACGUGGGAUAUAAAGUUGACACUCUUCCAAACCCACUUUCAAUAUUAUUGCAAACACUAUAAUCAAUCUCAUAUUCAUCUUGGGGCUUAAAUAAAUUUUCAAGAUUGUAAGAAGAAUCACCUGAAUCAUGAUUAUUGCAACAAAUAGUGGACAUAGCAAAACUAGCAUCCCCAAACUUAGGGUUUUGCAUAUUAUUAGCACAACUGACAUUAAUAGAAUUUAUUAUACCAUCAUUGCAAUCAUGCUUUUCAUUCAAAGAUCUACCAUGAAUCACUUCAUAAAGUACUUCAUCACAAUUUCCAGAUUCACGGAUUUCAAGCAAAACCUCAUAAAGAUAAUCUAGUGCACACAACUCACUAGCAAUUGGUUCAUAAUUGGAUCUCUUAAAAAGAUUAGCAAGGGGACGAGGAUCCAUAUCAAUAGAUUUUUAGCAAGCGAAGAUGCAAGCACAUAGAAGGCACAUGGCAACACAAGCAAACGAAAAAGACGAACAGAAGAGGGGCGAAGAAAAGGUAAAGGUGAAGUGGGGGAGAGGAAAACGAGAGGCAAAUGGCAAAUAAUGUAAUGCGGGGGAUAAGAGUUUGUGAUGGGUACUUGGUAUGUCUUGACUUGUGCGUAGAUCUCCCCGGCAAUGGCGCCAGAAAUCCUUCUUGCUACCUUUUGAGCUGGCGUUGGUUUUCCCUUGAAGACGAAAGGGUGAUGUAGCAAAGUAGCGUAAGUAUUUCCCUCAGUUUUUGAGAACCAAGGUAUCAAUCCAGUAGGAGACUACAUGCAAAUCGCCUAGUACCUGCACAAACAAUCAAGAACCUUGCAACCAACGCGAUAAAGGGGUUGUCAAUCCCUUCAUGGCCACUUGCAAAAGUGAGAUCUGAUAAAGAUAAUAAGAUAAAUAUUUUUGGUAUUUUUGUUGUAUAGAUUGGAAAAUAAAGAUUGCAGAAUAAAUAGUAAACUAGAAUUAUAGAUCGGAAACUUAUAUGAUGUAAAGUAGACCCGGGGGCCAUAGGUUUCACUAGUGGCUUCUCUCAAGAUAGCAUAUAUUAUAGUGGGUGAACAAAUUACUGCCGAGCAAUUGAUAGAAAAGCGCAUAGUUAUGAGAAUAUCUAGGCAUGAUCAUGAACAUAGGCAUCACGUCCGUGUCAAGUAGACCGAAACGAGUCUGCAUCUACUACUAUUACUCCACACAUCGACCGCUAUCCAGCAUGCAUCUAGAGUAUUAAGUUCAUAAGAACGGAGUAACGCAUUAGGCAAGAUGACAUGAUGUAGAGGGAUAAACCCAAGCAAUAUGAUAUAAACCCCAUCUUUAUAUCCUCGAUGGCAACAAUACAAUACGUGUCGGUUCCCUUUCUGUCACUGGGAUCGAGCACCGCAAGGUUGAACCCAAAGCUAAGCACUUCUCCCAUUGCAAGAAAGAUCAAUCUAGUAGGCCAAACUAAACUGAUAAUUCGAAGAGACUUGCAAAGAUAUUAAAUCAUGCAUAUAAGAAUUCAGAGAAGAAUCAAAUAUUGUUCAUAGAUAAUCUUGAUCAUAAACCCACAAUUCAUCGGAUCUCGGCAAACACACCACAAAAAUAAUUACAUCGAAUAGAUCUCCAAGAAGAUCAAGGAGAACUUUGUAUUGAGAUCCAAAGAGAGAGAAGAAGCCAUCUAGCUAAUAACUAUGGACCCGAAGGUCUGUGGUAUACUACUCACACAUCAUCGGAGAGGCUAUGGUGUUGAUGUAGAAGCCCUCCGUGAUCAAAUCCCCCUCCGGCAGAUCGCCAGAAAAGGCCCCAAGAUGGGAUCUCACGGGUACAGAAGGUUGCGGCGGUGGAAAAGUGGUUUCGUGGCUCCCCUGGAUCUUUUCAGGGUAUAAGAGUAUAUAUAGGCGAAAGAAGUAGGUCGGUGGAGCUACGAGGGGCCCACGAGGGUGGGGGGCGUGCCUACCCCCUGGGCGCGCCCUCCUACCUCGUGGCCGCCUCGUUGCUUCCUUGACUUCCACUCCAAGUCUCGUGGAUUGAGUUUGUUCCCAAAAAGAUCCCCGCAAAGGUUUCGUUCCAUUUGGAUUCUGUUUGAUAUUCUUUUUCUACAAAACACUAAAAUAAGCAAAAAACAGCAAUUUGCACUGGGCCUUUGGUUAAUAGGUUAGUCCCAAAAAUAAUAUAAAAGAGCAUAAUAAAGCCCAUUAAACAUCCAAAAUAGAUAAUAUAAUAGCAUGGAACAAUAAAAAAUUAUAGAUACGUUGGAGACGUAUCAACAUGUAUUUCGUAAAUAGUCAUACGUGCUUAUGGAAAGAACUUGCAUGACAUGUUUGGUCCUACCCUCCCGUGGCAGCGGGGUCGUAUUGUAAACUAAGGGAUAUUAAGGCAUCCUUUUAAUAGAGAACCGGAACAAAGCAUUAACACGCGGUGAAUACAUGAACUCCUCAAACUACGGUCAUCUCCGGGAGUGGUCCCGACUAUUGUCACUUCGUGGUUUCCGGAUCAUAACACGUAGUAGGUAACUAUAACUUGCAAGAUCGGAUCUAGAACAUGGAUAUAAUGCUGAUAACAUAAACGGUUCAGAUAUGAAAUGUAACAUCCCAAAUUUUCAAUUUGGAUUGUUAUACAUUAGAUCAUCAUGCAUAUCAUAUUUUAUUGCAUUUUGAUUUGCGAUCCUAGAAAUUUCACGCAACUCUAGGACCCACGGAGAGAGUUGGGGAUUUUGUUAUUUUCAUAUUUGGGUUUUCUCAAAUUUUGAAAAUAGGAUCAUUUGUUUUAAUUAUUUUUCUCUCCGAAAAUAUUUCAUAUCAAAAUAUAUGAGAGGGGAUAAAAUGACUUCUCCACAAAUAAUGAAAUAUUGGAGGAAAAAUAUUAAAAACAAAUAUUUGAUUUUAUUUGAUUUUAUUCGAAUUAGGAAAAAUACGCGUUUUUCAAAUUUGCAUUUUAGGCCCAAAUAAAUGUUCAUCUUGUCCGGCUUAUUUGUAGAGGACGGGGAAAAUUUAUUUCGGGAUUUUUGGAGUCUGUUUAGUAUUUCUUUUCUUACUUUUUCCGCACGUUCGAAUUAUUUAUUUAUUUUUAAAAAAAGUCAACCGCCUUACGGGCCGUGUCCGACCCGGACACCUCAGCCCGGCCGGCCUUUAAAGCCGUGGCCCGAGCCCCGCCUCAGCCUAAGUCGCCGCCGCCCGCGCCGCCNNNNNNNNNNNNNNNNNNNNNNNNNNNNNNNNNNNNNNNNNNNNNNNNNNNNNNNNNNNNNNNNNNNNNNNNNNNNNNNNNNNNNNNNNNNNNNNNNNNNNNNNNNNNNNNNNNNNNNNNNNNNNNNNNNNNNNNNNNNNNNNNNNNNNNNNNNNNNNNNNNNNNNNNNNNNNNNNNNNNNNNNNNNNNNNNNNNNNNNNNNNNNNNNNNNNNNNNNNNNNNNNNNNNNNNNNNNNNNNNNNNNNNNNNNNNNNNNNNNNNNNNNNNNNNNNNNNNNNNNNNNNNNNNNNNNNNNNNNNNNNNNNNNNNNNNNNNNNNNNNNNNNNNNNNNNNNNNNNNNNNNNNNNNNNNNNNNNNNNNNNNNNNNNNNNNNNNNNNNNNNNNNNNNNNNNNNNNNNNNNNNNNNNNNNNNNNNNNNNNNNNNNNNNNNNNNNNNNNNNNNNNNNNNNNNNNNNNNNNNNNNNNNNNNNNNNNNNNNNNNNNNNNNNNNCGACGCCGCCACCCGCCGGAGCUGCUUGCCGCCGCCGCCAUCACGCGAACCGAGGUAGCCGCCGGUUUUUCUCGAAAAACCGUUCGGUUUUAUUUCGAAACCGAGAUGCGUUUUUUAUAUUAGACCGGUUUAUUUUUUUCGGUUUAGUUAAAUAGCGAACGCCCGUUUGUUCGUUCAUUUUAACGAACGGUUUUCGUUUUUUUACAGACAGCGAACGUUCGAUCGUUAGCCUGUUCGCCAGUUAUUCUUUUUUCUCGGAUUUUCCGCAAUUAUUCCUGAUCGCGAUUUCCGAUCUGUUUUUUUCGUUUUAGUAUAACUUUUCACUUGUUUAUGGGAAUCAGGCGAUUCAAGCGUCUAGAGUUUUGUCUCGAAAUUCUCUCUCCGUUUAACCAACUCAAACAAGUUUUUGCUACCAUAAAAUUUGACUUAGAUCCAGAUUAGUAAACGAAGCUUGUUUCUUUCGCCAUUUGACCCGCGUUGCUUCGUUUGAAUUGAUUCUUUUUGCAAACCGGAGUUCUUAAGUUGAACUUUCUGGUUAGAUCUGUUAUUUUGAGUUUUAUUUCGUGCACCCUUGCUUGAUUUCUUAUGUAUGUAUUGUUUGUUUGCGAUAGAGUACCCGGAGUGCAAAGCGUGCUACUACGAGUCUCUAGGUUUCACGGAUCAUCAGCAAGGCAAGUAACACUUUGAUCAUACUUUUCAUCACCCAGUUUUAUUGCAUUAGACCAAUCCUCAAACAGUAGCAUGAUUAGGAUCUAAUUAAUAUGUGGGUUUUGGGAAGUAGAUGAGGUAGUACCUAUUGUCCUGUUUACUAUCAAACCUUUGGGAGUUACUUCUACGUUUGCUUAUAUUGCUAUGCUAUGCUCGUAGACGUGGAUUGGGUUUGAGUGAAUUCUUCAUGACAGAUGUGAGAUUAUUAAUUUAUGGUUCAACUUAAGGUGGCUACUUUAAUUUACAUCUGGGUGGAUUGAGGCACCUGGAGAACCCAGUGUUGCCUGUAUUUUUGGAUAUCCCGGAGUACCCGUGUGAUCAUCCUAUGGACCGCCACCCAGGCUCAAAGGGAUCAUGAGAUUAUUCAUGCUAGAAACUUCCGUGUGCAGCCACAAGCUAUUAUGGGCUCUAGCAUAGUUGAGUAGGUUACAUGACCUCUUGAAGAGGUGUGCUAGCAGAUGUAGGGGAAAGUAGGUGUAACUGUCCACCCGGAGUAAAGAGUAGUGUUUCUGAAAGACCGUGUCUCGGUCAUCCGUUUCUCAAACACCAUGUAGUGCGAGAAAUCAAGUGGAGGCGAUCGAGUCUUGUGGGGAAAAGUGCACAAACCUCUGCAGAGUGUACAAACUAAUCAUGAUUAGCCGUGUCCUCGGUUAUGGACAUCUUGAGUUUCUGGUUCUUGGAUUAUCAUGUGAAUCUCAUCAUCAUGUUACUUAAUUUAAUUUCAUUGGGUUAAUCACGUUCUUAAUUGGGAUUGAGUUGGAGGUACCUUCUCAAUGUUUAGCAACCACCAUGAUAGUUAAAUAAAAUUUAUUCCUUUGUGGUAGGGAAAAAUUGGCUUUUCGCAAAACUGUAACCAUAGAGCUUUCCACCAGCCAAAUAUGCAUGUAGUGAUAGCAUUAUUCUGUUCAUUACUCUCUAUGUGUUACUUUGCCAGCAUAUUCCAUGUGCUGACCCGUUUUCGGGCUGCAACGUAUCAUGUUGCAGACUUUCCAGACGACGAGUAAGGAGCCUUAGGUCGUGGUCUUAUACUCAGUGAUGCCAUUGGAGUUGAUGGACUCACUUUAUCUUCCAAGCCUUCCGCUGUUAUCGUAUUUUAGAUGGCCCUAAGCCAUAUUUAUUGUAUUGAGUUCUCUUGAACUAUUCGAUGUAAUAAUUGUGUGAAUGCUACUCUGUUAUAAAUCCUUCAAAGUACUGUGCGUGUCAGCAUUACCGAUCCAGGGAUGACACUGAUGCACAUAGACUAGACUGUUUGAGGUCUGGUCGCUACAGAGAUGGUAUCAGAGCACACGCUGACUGUAGGACACGACCACUAAGAUAAAGACCUAGAUCACUACUCUCUUCUCAUUUCUGACUCCUCUCCUUUCUUCCACUCUUUUAGGAUGGCGGAUGCAAGGAACAAGUUCGCGCAACCAGAUGAGGAUACACCUCUUGGACGACACUUGAAGGAAGUUACUAAGUACCUGAACAUCGGAAUACCAAGCUUCACCGGAACCUACAACUCCACACUACCAGAAGAGGAGCACUGGAUGAUUCAAGUUCAAGUUCCAGGAAGGACGUUCACGCCAAUCACUGAGCCCAUAGAGUUUUCCUUUGAUUCACCAACCUGGAGUCUAGGAAAGAGCAUGGCAGCCCACAUCACCAUGGGACGCGUUGGAGAAGUGUACCACAAUGAUCUCAAGGAUACUAUCUAUCAGAUUUGUGGGCGCCGAGACGAGCAAUGGGAGAUGAUCAGUACCAGGAAGGAUAGAUCUAUUGUAGCUUUCAUCCAGGAGUUAAACCAGCACAUUCGUCGCCAGGAGAACCAGAUGUGCGCAGACAUGAUAGAACUGAAGAAGGAAAAGACUAGGAUCAUGGAACUGGAGGAAGAACUCAAGGCUACACGCGAGGAUUAUAUGGAGGAAAUCGUCGCACUAGUGGAGAAGAAUGAUGACCUGGCAAAGAAGCUAGGACUUUUCAUGGGAGACCCAGCACCAGGAGGAGAUGAUGACGAUUCUACUUGCCCGGAGAAUUACAUCAUCAUUGACGACACCGACUCGGACCCCAGUGAGGAUGAUUUGGAGGAUGAAGCCGGAGCAGAUAUCAUGGAGUCUUCGACUGAGCAAUUUUUCUAGUAGACCACCAAAUUAGUAGUAGUAUUCCACCAUGUAUAUAUUAUAGUCCAAGCACUUUGUAACGAUAGUUAGAACGAUUGUAUGCCUUGUUUGAAUUGAUUGGAGUGAUAUGAUUGUGUUUGUCUCAUGUGCAUAUGGGUAGUGUUUCCCUCUAGACCUCUGUAACACCCACGAUGCGGCUAUAUCUCCCACGUGUCGAGGCACGACUUAGAGGCAUAACCGCAUAGUGGUUUUGUUGCAAGAAGGGUCAUCUUCACACAAUCCCAUGUAAUGAACAAGAAUGGGAUAACGAGAGUUGUCUUACAAUCGCCACUUCACACAAUACAUAAAUAUAAUCCAUACAUCAUCCAAAAUACACACAUAGACCGACUACGGUCAAAAUCCAUAUGAAAAUAAGAUAACCCCAAAUGCUAGGUCCCCGAUCGUCCCAACUGGGCUCCACUACUGAUCAUCAGGAAAAGAAACAUAGUAACGACCACGUUCCUCGUCGAACUCCCACUUGAGCUCGGUUGCAUCAUCUGCACUGGCAUCGUCGACACCUGCAACUGUUUUGGAAGUAUCUGUGAGUAACGAGGACUCAACAAUCUCACAACCGCGAGAUCAAGACUAUUUAAGCUUAUAGGAAAAGAUGGUGUAAUGAGGUGGAGCUGCAGCAGGCACUAAGCAUAUAUGGUGGCUAACAUACGCAAAAGAGAGCGAGAAGAGAAGCAACGGAACGGUCGUCAUCUAGUAGUGACCAAGAAGUGAUCCUGAACUCCUACUUACGUCAUACAUAACCCGAACCGUGUUCACUUCCCGGACUCCGCCGCGAAGAGACCAUCACGGCUACACACACAGUUGAUGUAUUUUAAUUAAGUCAAGUGACAAGUUCUCUACAACCGGACAUUAACAAAUUCCCAUCUGCCUCAUAACCGCAGGCACGGCUUUCGAAAGAUAAUACCCUGCAGGGGUGUCCCAACUUAGCCCAUCAUAAGCUCUCACGGUCAACGAAGGAUAAACCUUCUCCUGGAAAGACCCGAUCAGUCUUGGAAUCCCGGUUUACAAGACAUUUUGACAAUGGUAAAACAAGACCAGCAAAGCCACCCGAAUGUGCCGACAAAUCCCGAUAGGAGCUGCACAUAUCUCGUUCUCAGGGCACACCAGAUUGUCCAAGCUUCCGAUAGGCGAUCCCAGAGUUGCCCCUGGUGGCCACCGGCGACUGACAGGUUGGACCAAUACUCAGAGGAGCACUGGCCCGGGGGUUUAAAUAAAGAUGACCCUCGGGCUCGCGAAAACCCGGGGGAAAAGGCUUAGGUGGCAAAUGGUAAAACCAAAGUUGGGCCUUGCUGGAGGAGUUUUAUUCAAGGCGAACUGUCAAGGGGGUCCCAUAAAUCACCCAACCGCGUAAGGAACGCAAACUCAAGGAACAUAAUACCGGUAUGACGGAAACUAGGGCGGCAAGAGUGGAACAAAACACCAGGCAUAAGGCCGAGCCUUCCACCCUUUUACCAAAUAUAUAGAUGCAUUAAUUAAAUAAGAGAUAUUGUGAUAUUCCAAAAAUAUCCAUGUUCUAACAUGGAACAAACUUCAACUACACCUGCAACUAGCAACGCUAUAAGAAGGGCUGAGCAAAAGCAGUAACUUAGCCAAACAACGGUUUGCUAGGAAAGGAUGGUUAGAGGCUGACAUGGCAAUAUGGGAGGCAUGAUAUAGCAAGUGGUAGGUAGCGCAUCAUGGCAAUAGAGCGAACAACUAGCAAAGCAAAGAUAGAAGUGAUUUCGAGGGUAUGGUCAUCUUGCCUGCAAGGUUCUCAGAGUUGUCGAAAGCUUGAUCCUCGUAAGCGUACUCAACAGGUUCCUCGUUCACGAACUCGUCUGCCGGCUCUACCCAAAACAAGAACACAAGCAACGGAACCACAAUCAAUCACGAGAAAUGCACAAGCAACAUGAUGCACAACAUGUAUGAUAUGCGAGAUGUGAUAUGCGAUGCAUAUGCGUGCUCCGGAAGAAAAAUGAUGAACAAGCCAGUAACUUGGCAAACCAAGCAUUCCAUUGGAAAGAUGAGAUGAUUUCAGUCGAAAUCGAUAUAAAGAUCACCGGAAACGGAUGCACAAUUUGCAAAUGGCAAGCAAAACAAGAAUGACACGAAGCUGCGAUUAACAGCAUGAUAGCACUUAGAAUGCAACAAGAAACUCUGCUACAGCCCUCCAACGUAGCAACAAAGCAUAUGGCAGUAAUCUACAGGAGAUUCUUGACAAAAGAUGAACACUGAGAUAUGGAUAUAUCACAACAUAACAAGCUCAAACAAGCAUGGCAAAAGUGCAAAAGAUAUCAGGUUUACAGACUUGAUGAAAUUACUGGAAAUGACUGAAACAGCAUCAGAUAGCAAUGUUCAGAGCACGAAAUCAACAUGCUACAGGAACUUAACAUGGCAAAACAAGGCAUGGCAGUAUUCUACUAAAUGCAUAUGACAAAAGUCCCUUAGUGACCAUAAGCCAAAAAGGACCAGAAGAUAUGAUGGCAACCAUGUAAACAUAGCAACUUCGUUAACAGGUUUCAGACUUGGCAGAAAACAGAGCAUGGCAGAAACAGACAUUAUAAGGGCAUCUUUGUGAGCUUGAUGCACUCACCACAAAGCAAUGCAUGACAAAACAAGCAUACCUACAGCAAUAUGGCAAGUUUAUGAAGCUAUCCAUGGCAAGAGAAAAUACAUAGAAUGUAUGAAACAAGUACAACAAGCUUGGCAAAAUUGAAUAUCAUGUUAAGAAUCUGCCAGAAAUAUUUUAUAGCAAAAGUAGAGCAAGAUUGAGUCAUGUUAUGGCACUCCAUAAUUGCAAACAAGGGCAGGAAUCGAUCAAUUACAACAAUAUCUACAAAACAUCCUUACUGAACAUCACCAAAAUAAGCAUGGAUCUCUCUGUAGCCACAUGGAUACAUAGCAACAAAAUAACAACAGACGGACUUGGUAAAUUUACAAGUCCCUGAAAACAGAAACAUCAUGAAGCCUAGUUUGCAUUCUUGUGCUAGUCACCACAUAGAUAACAAAAAUACAUGGCAUACACCACUGUAAAGAUGGCAUGGCAUACAUCAAAACACAGGUAGAGCUCAUGCCCAUAAGAUGCACAGAUUAAAUGCAACAAAAAUAACAAAUCCGCAAGUUCUGAUAAGUGCCAGCAGAUAACAGCAACUAGCACUCUUGCAUCAGAGAUUUGGUCAUCAAGAUGAACUCAAAUGAACAUGGUGCAAUGGAACAAAAUGAAGAGCAUCUAGAGACGAACAUUUCGAUAUAUUACACGCGUGAAACGGAGCUAUAUGCAGAUAGUUAUGAUGCGAUGAACAGGUGCACAUAUUGUAAAAUAUUAGGACAGGAUUUUCGGGAGAGGGGAGAGUCAACCUUUGGCGUUGACUGGAUCGGGAUCCAGAUCGGAUCGAGGCCGAGCUCGCCGGAGCAGCUGGCUCGACGGCGGCCGGCGCUCGGGGGGAGGGAGAGGAGCCGGAGAGGAGGGAGACGACGCGGGCGGCGGAGGACGACGGCGGCGGGGUCCGGCGAGGCGGCGGGNNNNNNNNNNNNNNNNNNNNNNNNNNNNNNNNNNNNNNNNNNNNNNNNNNNNNNNNNNNNNNNNNNNNNNNNNNNNNNNNNNNNNNNNNNNNNNNNNNNNNNNNNNNNNNNNNNNNNNNNNNNNNNNNNNNNNNNNNNNNNNNNNNNNNNNNNNNNNNNNNNNNNNNNNNNNNNNNNNNNNNNNNNNNNNNNNNNNNNNNNNNNNNNNNNNNNNNNNNNNNNNNNNNNNNNNNNNNNNNNNNNNNNNNNNNNNNNNNNNNNNNNNNNNNNNNNNNNNNNNNNNNNNNNNNNNNNNNNNNNNNNNNNNNNNNNNNNNNNNNNNNNNNNNNNNNNNNNNNNNNNNNNNNNNNNNNNNNNNNNNNNNNNNNNNNNNNNNNNNNNNNNNNNNNNNNNNNNNNNNNNNNNNNNNNNNNNNNNNNNNNNNNNNNNNNNNNNNNNNNNNNNNNNNNNNNNNNNNNNNNNNNNNNNNNNNNNNNNNNNNNNNNNNNNNNNNNNNNNNNNNNNNNNNNNNNNNNNNNNNNNNNNNNNNNNNNNNNNNNNNNNNNNNNNNNNNNNNNNNNNNNNNNNNNNNNNNNNNNNNNNNNNNNNNNNNNNNNNNNNNNNNNNNNNNNNNNNNNNNNNNNNNNNNNNNNNNNNNNNNNNNNNNNNNNNNNNNNNNNNNNNNNNNNNNNNNNNNNNNNNNNNNNNNNNNNGGGGCCGACCGCGGGCUCGCGGGCCGGCGGCGCGGGACACGUGGCAGGCUGGGAGUGGCCGGGCGCGGCGGCGGGGAGGUGUCCGGUGGCGGCGGACACGUCUGGUGGCGGCGGGGUGAAUUUGCUAGGGUUUGAUCUGCGAAAUAUUUCGGGAGGGGAGGUGUAUAUAUAGGUAGAGGGAGCUAGGAGACUCCAAACGGAGUGCGGUUUUCGCCCACACGAUCGUGAUCGAACGACCUAGAGGAUGGAAGAGACUUAGAUGGGUUUUGGGCUAUUUAGAGAGGGGUUUUGCUGCAACACACAAACGGACUUUGCGGUUACCCGGUUAACCGUUGGAGUACCAAACGACCUCCAAAUGGAACGAAACUUGACCGGUGGUCUACCGGUGGUAUACCAAGGCCACUUGCCAAGACUCGGUCCAUUCUGAGAAUGUUCAACACCCGCUCACGAAACGAAACAAGAGGGGUGCGCCGAAGGAGGUGGGAGUGCCAUAUUGCAAAACGGACAACGGGGAAAAUGCUCGGAUGUAUGAGACGAACACGUAUGCAAAUGCAAUGCACAUGAUGACAUGAUAUGAGAUGCAUGACAUGAACAAAAUGCAAAACCGGAAAACAAAACCCGACCACGAAGGGAAUAUCAUAACACAUAGCCGGAAAUGGCAAGAGUUGGAGUUACAAAUAUAGAAAGUUACAUCCGGGGUGUUACAACACUCCACCACUACGAGAGGAUCUCGUCCCGAGAUCUAGGACUGAAAGAACUACGGAUAUUCGGAACGGAGAUGGUCCUCGCGUUCCCAGGUGGCUUCUCGGUCGGAAUGGUGCGACCACUUCACUUUUAGGAAUUUGAUUGACUUGUUGCGAGUCUUGCGCUCAGUUUCUUCAAGAAUAGCAACGGGGUGCUCAUGAUAAGACAGAUCUUCUUGAAGGUCAAUCUCUUCAAAGUUGAUGGUGCGCUCAGGCGUCUUGAAGCACUUGCAGAGCUGUGCCACGUGGAACACAUCGUGCACGUUCGCGAAGUUGGAGGGAAGCUCAAGUUGAUAGGCGAGGUCGCCUCUUUUGCCAAUGAUCUUGAAAGGACCCACGUAUCUAGGGGCAAGCUUCCCUUUGAUACCGAAGCGACGAGUGCCUUUCAUUGGAGAGACGCGGAGGUAGACAUGGUCUCCGAUCUCGAAAGCCACAUCACGGUGCUUACUAUCAUAGUAACUCUUCUGGCGCGAUUGCGCGGCUUUGAGAUUUUCACGGAUGACUUUACACAUUUCUUCAGCCUCUGUGAUUAAGUCAUUGCCAAGAAGUUGGCAUUCACCAGUCUCUGACCAAUUGAGAGGAGUACGACACUUUCUGCCAUAGAGAAUCUCGAAUGGGGCCUUGCCCGAACUCGCUUGGAAGCUGUUGUUGUAGGAGAAUUCUGCAUAUGGAAGACAAUCCUCCCAUUUCAUGCCAAAGGAAAUGACACAAGCCCUGAGCAUAUCUUCAAGAAUUUGAUUGACUCGCUCGACUUGGCCACUAGUUUGAGGAUGGAAAGCUGUGCUGAAGCGAAUAUUUGUGCCCAUGGCCUUCUGGGAGGAGUCCCAGAACUUAGAAGUGAAGAUGCUUCCACGAUCUGAAGAAAUCAAUUAUGGAAUGCCGUGCAAGGAGACAAUCCUGGAGGUGUAAAGCUCUGCCAACUGAGCUGCUGUGAUAGACUCUUUGAUUGGAAGGAAAUGAGCCACUUUAGAAAGCUUGUCAAUGACAACGAAGAUAGCAUCAUUUCCGCGCUUGGACUUGGGAAAUCCAGUCAUGAAGUCCAUUUCUAUAUGAUCAAACUUCCACUCUCGGAUAGCAAGAGGUUGGAGGAGACCAGCUGGUCGUUGGUGUUCUGCUUUCACUCUUCGACAGACAUCACAUUCAUUCACGAAUUGAGCGAUUUCUCGCUUCAUUCGAGUCCACCAAUACGACUGCUUGAGGUCAUGGUACAUCUUCGUACUUCCAGGAUGAAUGGAAAGAAGAGAAUUGUGCGCCUCGUUCAUAAUGACUUUCCUUAGAUCACCUUUAGGAACCACAAUCU
RNAcentral lists this long non-coding RNA (75507 nucleotides) under Triticum aestivum (bread wheat). RNAcentral's name for it is "long non-coding RNA (TAES_LNC008929)". The record is from RNAcentral. Lineage: Eukaryota; Viridiplantae; Streptophyta; Magnoliopsida; Poales; Poaceae.